GAGCCGUGGGUGCGAGGGAGUCUGGGGCACGAGGCGUGUUGGACGUGAGUGUCGACGGGGUGCGCAAGAUCCGGCUGCUAGGAACUAUUUGCGGCUGCUACUCCUCAGGCUAGGAUUUCCCAUUUUUGCUUUUUUGGUUUUGGGCUUGUUUAGUGGGUUUGUGUUUGUAUUGGGCUAGGUUUUGUUUUAGUGGUUAAUUUGUUUAGGCCUAGGUUUGGGUUUGUUUAAAAAUUUGGUCCUACAGCUGCCCCUCUUUGCUCAUUGUCGUGUAAUGAGAAUAGAGCAAAGAUUUUAGGAGGACCAAAUUUGCUUGGGCUGGCUGAGUCUUGUCUUUUUUGCCACAGCCCACCGCACUUUAUUGCUUCAAAAAUGCUCAUUUGCUGCUUCAUAUAAAUGAGGUUUGCUGAAAUUUGAUCUGCUCCGCUCUUGCUCGGUGAAGAUAAGAUCCGCUGUAUCUGACCUGCUCCACUCUUGUUCAGUAGAGAUAAGAUCUGAUAUAUUUAGCCUGCUUCACUCCUGCUCAGUGAAGAUAAGUCUGAUGAUUGGAAUCUGCUCCAUCGCUAGUACAGGGAGAUAAGAUUCACCAAAAUUCGAUCUACUCUGCUCCUGCUCAGCGAAGAUAAGAUCUGCUAUACUUAGCCUGCUUCACUCCUACUCAGUGAAGAUAAGGCUGAUGAUUAGAAUCUGCUCCAUUGCCGAUACAUGGAGAUAAGACUCGCCAAAAUUUGAUCUGCUUCACUCCUGUUCAGUGAAGAAAAGAUCGGGUAUUUUAGCCUGCUCCACUCCUGCUCAGUGAAGAUAAAGCUGAUGGCUGAAAUCUGCUCUACUCCUGCUCAGUGAAGAUAAGACUGGUGGCUGAAAUCUGCUCCACUCCUGCUCAGUGAAGAUAAGACUCGCCAAAAUUUGAUCUGCUUCACUCCUGCUCAAUGAAGAUAAGAUCGGGUAUGUUUAGCCCGCUUCACUCCUACUCAGUGAAGAUAAGGCUGAUGAUAUCUGUCUUUUUAAUCAAUCCUGCUACAUUGUCUACUGGGGAUCCUAUCUGUAGAAGAGUGAUUUUAUGCUUAUGCUAGAUGUUUAGGAUGCCAUGAUUAAUCAAUGCUCCUAACUAGAUGUAUUAUGGAUAUUUAAAUGCAUAAAUGCAAAAUGUCAUGAGAAUGAUCAUUUUAAUUUUUAGGCUGUUAUCGCUUGUUGUUUGCUAUGGUAACAUCCCUGAUGUAUGCCUUCUCAUCCAGCUUAAUAAAAGAGGGCUUGAGGAUACUGUAAGUACCUUUUCCUUCACACGUUUCUAGCUCUUUAAGCCUGGUGAGUUUUAAAUAAUUGUCCUAUUUCAGGAUCUUGUAUUGUUUAGAAAUCUUUCAGAGUAAAACGUAAAACCUUUUUUGAGAACAUUGUUAGUUCAUUAAUCAUUAUUUCAAUAUAAAACGCUUGAAAAAGAUCAUAAGGGUAAAUGGAACUAAAAUUUAUUCGAGUCCUAGUUCACGAAAUAUGUACUAAAGAAAGAAAGCAUUGAUUAUUUGAAAUACAAAAAUGGAUAAAAAGAACAAAUAGGUGCCCUAGAUUCCGCAGUUUGAGCUUCUCUGAACGAACUACUCGAAGACCAUUCUACACUUGACAUGUGCUCAAGGGAUCUAUAGCAUUUUGUCGAUGCCCCAAGAUGUAGCCCAUCCUUUCUUUGUCAAUUCUAGUGUAACGAAACUGCUACUUGCCCCAGUCUGGAUCAAUUUUUGAAUUGCCCUUUGUGGGUUUUCAAUUCAAAACCCUUUUGGUCUCAAUGCGCCCUUUUACGGGUUUUCACCUUGGCCUCUCCCUUUUUUUUUUGGCGCCCUUUACGGGUUUUCACCUCAACUGCUCCAAGUAAAAUAUCUUUUGACAGAAUCUGAAUUUAUAGGGUUAGGCAAGCUCUUGCCAUCCAUUUCUGCUAGUAUCAAUGCCCCUCUAGAGAAAUCUUUUUUUACCACAUAGGGUCCUUCCCAAUUUGGCAUCCAUUUCCCCCUGAAAUAUUUUUGCAUAGGGAGAAUAUUUUUCAAUACUAAGUCCCCUUCAUGGAACACCCUAGGGUGAACUUUUUUGUUGUAGGGUCGUAUCAUUCUCCUCUGGUACAUUUGACCAUGACGAAUAGCCUUCAGCCUUCUCUCUUCAAUCAAGUUUUGUUGAUCGUAACGAGAUUGGAUCCAUUCUGCUUCGUCUAACUUCAACUCUGAUAAAACUCAGAGAGAAGGGAUUUCGACCUCAAUAGGUAAAACUGCCUCCAUCCCAUAAACCAAUGAGAAAGGUGUUGCCCCGGUAGAAGUUCUGACAGAUGUCCGAUAAGCAUAAAGGGCAAAUGGGAGCUUUUCAUGCCAAUCUUUGUAGGUCUCUGCCAUUUUUCUUACAAUCUUCUUGAUAUUCUUAUUAGCUGCCUCAACCGCCCCAUUCAUUUUUGGGUGGUAUGGCGACGAGUUGUGAUGUUUAAUGUUGAACCGACCGCAGACUUCUACUAUUGUGCUAUUAUUCAGAUUCAAUGCGUUGUCAGAUAUGAUUUUUCUGGUAUACCAUAACGACAUACGAUCUCCUUCUUUAGGAACUUACUGACCGCCGACUUUGUGACAUUGGCGUACGAAGCAGCCUCCACCCAUUUGGUAAAGUAGUCAAUGGCCACAAAAAUGAAUCGAUGUCCGUUGGAAGCCUUUGGCGAAAUCGGCCCAAUGACGUCUAUACCCCACAUUGAGAAUGGCCAUGGGGAAGCCAUAACAUGGAGGGGGUGAAGGAGGCACAUGGAUCUUGUAUCCAUAAAUUUGACACUUAUGGCACUUCUUAGCGUAAUUGAUGCAAUCUCCUUCCAUUGUGGACCAGUAAUAUCCGAAUCUCAUGAUUUGUCGAGCCAUUGUAAAACCAUUGGCAUGUGUCCCACAGAUGCCAUCAUGGACUUCCUCUAGAAUUUUCUUUGCCUCAACAACGUCAACACAUCUUAGCAACACCUGAUCCUUUCUUUUAUUAUAUAGGACCUCACCGUCCAAGACAUAGUCACUGGCUAACCUCCUCAAUGUUCUUUUAUCAUUUUUGGUUGCUUGAUCUGGGUAUGCACGGCUCUUCACAUAUUGUAAGAUAUCAUGAUACCAAGGAUGAUCAUAUCUCUCUUCCUCUUCAUCGACAUUAUAGCAAUGAGCCGGAGCCUCACAGAUACUCAUUUGAAUUGGCUUUAUAUCCUCCUGUUCAUUUACUUUGAUCAUGGAAGCCAGUGUAGCCAAGGCGUCAGCCAUCUGAUUCUCGUCUCGUGGGAGGUAAUAAAAGGUAAUAUCACCAAACUCUUCAAUUAAUUCUAGGAUUAACUUUCGGUAACUGAUCAAUUUAGGAUCUCUCGUUUCCCACUCGCCUUUAAGAUGAUAAAUUACCAAUGCAGAAUCUCCAUACACUUCUAAUACUUUGAUUUCGCGGUCUAUAACUGCCCGAAUUCCCAUGAUACAUGCCUCGUAUUCUGCCAUGUUGUUUGUGCAGUCAAAAUCCAGCUUGCAAGUGAAUGGAUAAUGGUCUCCAUUUGGGGAUAUCAGUACUGCCCCAACUCCAUUUCCAACGGCAUUUGAUGCUCCAUCAAAAUUUAAUUUCCAAGAAUGAUCUUGUGACAGCCCUAAAGUGACCCUAGUCGGAAAGCGGUUUCGAGACCGCUAAACCGAGUCACCAAAUUAUUUGAAUAUGGUAAUUAUUGUCUAAAAUAUGUGAAUAUGAAUGUGUGAAAGUUUUAAGCUUCGAUGUAGUUAAUUGCAUGUGAAUUUAGUUAAUAGGACUUAUGUGUGACACUUUUGAAAUGUGAUAGGUUAAUCUAUAAGGAUCUAUUAGUGCAUGUAAUCAAAAGGGUAGACUUGCAUGUCAAUUUCCCCACUUAAUUGGUAGUGGCCGGUCAUGACAAUGAGGGUGGACAAAAUGUGAUGGGCAAAACAUGUCAUAAACAUGUUAUGUUAGUGUUUUAUGUUAGAAAGAAUAAAAUAAAAGGCUAGUAAUAAAGUAAUGAAAAGGGAGGGGUGAUGAAAACAAAGUUGUCUCAUCCAUGCUCCCCCCCAUUGCCGUGACUUGAAGAAAAAAAAAAGAAAGAGUUCUCAUGUUGUUCAACUUGGCCGAAUAGAAGAAAGAAAAAGAAGGGAAAGAGCUUGGAGAAAAUCGGCUAUGGUGGUUCAUUAGACUAAGGUAUGUUGAUGUUGUUCCAUGAGAUUCAUGCAUGUUUUUAGUUGUUAGCUUGAGUUCUACCUAGCCCAUGGUUUAAAUCUUUGCUAUGAGAUGGACAUGAUAUUCGGCCAUGGGUGUUGUCUUCUUGGUUGAUGUUUGAUGUUGUGGUGAUGAGGCAUGGAGAUGAGCUAAGUUUCGGCUAAGGUGGACUUGUGUUGAUGUCAUUUGCAUGAUAAGUGUGAAGCUUUGUAGUGAUACAUGUUAUGGUGAUUGAUGACUCUUGGAUUUUCUUUUUAGCAUUUUUGAGUUAGACAUUAAGUUCUUUGUUUAACCCAUGACCAAAAUUGAAAUGGUAUGGUGUCUUGAAUCAUUCGAUCAUCUUAUGUUAAUAUUAAGGUAUGUUAAUGCUCUUUCAUUGAAAAUCUUUGUAUAUUUGGAGUGGUCAUCAAGUAUAGAAACUAGCUCAUGGCAAAUGUUUUUGUAAAGUUAUGAAGAUGACAAUCGGUCAUGGAUGUUUGUAUUUCUUUGAUGUUGUUUUUGAUGCUUUAGUGUAUUGAGGGUUGAUUAUAGAUGAGUUGAGCUUGGUAAAAUUAAAUGUUUGUGGCUUAAUUGCUUAAUGACAAUCGGCUAUGUUGAAAUGCUAAAUUAGUGCUAAAUUGUAAGUAUUUAAUUGAGUGUUAGCCGAAAUUGAGCUUAUGAUAGUAAUUAGAAUUUGUGAAAUUUAUGCAUUUUGUGGUCCAAGUGUGAUAAGAACCAUACGGUUAUGGCAUAUAAGCAUGAAAUCGAGUCAUGGCAUGUUUUAUUAAUUAUGAUACAUAUUGAAAUCUAUUGUUUUAGAUAUAGAUUAAAUGAUAUGUGAUUGCCAGAUGUGAUUGUUAAGUGAAUAAUAUUAGUUAAGUACUUAAGCAAAUCUAUUGUUUUACUUAAGCUUAAGAGCAAAGAGGAUCAAAGUCGGAUAGGGGAAAAGAGAAAGUAAACGAAUAGCCGUGGAUAUCUAGUCGCCGACCACUUCCGAGGUAAGUUUUAAGUGAUUAAACGUUGAGUAAAUUCAAUUAUAAUAGGACAUGAUAAAUUGAUUUAAUAAGAUAUGAUGUGGCCAUGUUAUGUUCUAAGCUCAAAUGGUAAGUUCUUAAGUGGUUGAGCUUGGGAAUUUAAGUGUAAUUUGAAAUAGUCUGCUUAGGACAGCAGUAGUAACGUCACUUUAGAAAAUCACCAUAAAUUUAUGGACUUGAAUUAGAGGCUGAAUGACACAUUAAAUUAAAGCUUAAUGAGUCUAGUUUCUUAUAAAAGAAACCGUGUAAGCAAAGGAAUUUCCGAUAAUGAGAUAUUUAAAGUUGUGUGAGACAGUGCAGAAUGACACUGUAAUCCUCUAUUCUGUUUUUAGAAAAUCAUUAUAAAUUGUACAAAAAUUUUUAAAAGACAAAAUUUAUAUUCUAGAUGCCUUAGUGAGUCUAGUUUCAAAUGAAAUAAACUAGAACAUAUUUUGAAUUUUUUACAAUGAGGAAUUUGAUUCGUAGUGAAGAGUGGUCAGCAUAGUCAAAUAGUGAAAUAGUGGAAACUUGAAGAAAAAUCUGGCAUUGAUUGGCCAAACUAAAAAUUCUGAAAAUUUGUUGGAUAAAAUAUGUAUGAGUCUAUUUUCAGGGAAAAUUAACGGUACUUCAUUUGGAGUUUCGUAGCUCUAUUUACGAAUAAUUUAAUGACUGUUGCUCAGGAAAAACAGCUUGUGCUGAAUUUGUGAUUAUGUUGUAAACCUUAAUAAAACUAUUUGAGUUGCUUAUAAGCUAUCGAUUAAAUAUUGGUAAUCAAAGUACCAAAUCCGUAUUAAAGUGAAGCUAUAAGCCGUAAAUGACUAGUAUACCUAGUCAAUUUUGUUAUGAUGAAAUUGAUGUACAAGGUGUAUAUAUGUGAUAAGGCCGAAUGGCCAAUGUGAUGAAUGUGAAAGUGUAUAUAUGUGAUAAGGCCUAAUGGCCAAUGUGAGGAAUGUGAAAGUGUAUAUGUGAUAAGGCCGAAUGGCCAAUGUGAUGAAUGUGAAAGUGUGUAUAUGUGAUAAGGCCGAAUGGCCAAUGUGAUGAAUGUGAAAGUGUAUAUAUGUGAUAAGGCCUAAUGGCCAAUGUGAGGAAUGUGAAAGUGUAUAUAUGUGAUAAGGCCGAAUGGCCAAUAUGAUGAAUGUGAAAGUGUGUAUAUGUGAUAAGGCUGAAUGGCCAAUGUGAGGAAUGUGAAAGUGUGUAUAUGUGAUAAGGCCGAAUGGCCAAUGUGAGGAAUGUGAAAGUGUGUAUAUGUGAUAAGGCCGAAUGGCCAAUGUGAUGAAUGUGAAAGUGUGUAUAUGUGAUAAGGCCGAAUGGCCAAUGUGAUGAAUGUGAAAGUGUGUAUAUGUGAUAAGGCCGAAUGGCCAAUGUGAUGAAUGUGAAAGUGUGUAUAUGUGAUAAGGCCUAAUGGCCAAUGUGAUGAAUGUGAAAGUGUGUAUAUGUGAUAAGGCCUAAUGGCCAAUGUGAUGAAUGUGAAAGUGUGUAUAUGUGAUAAGGCCGAAUGGCCGAUGUGAUGAAUGUGAAAGUGUAUAUAUGUGAUAAGGCCGAAUGGCCAAUGUGAUGAAUGUGAAAGUGUAUAUAUGAGAUAAGACCUGAUGGCCGAUGUGAUGGAUGUGAAGGUGUAUAUAUGUGAUAAGGCCGAAUGGCCAAUGUGAUGGAUAUGAAAGUGUAUAAAUGUGAUAAGUCCCGAAGGGCAUUUGUGUCAGUACUAUAUCUGGGUUAAAACCCCGCAGGCUUUAUGCGAGAAUAUUAUCCUGAUUAAUGUCCGUAGGCUUCGUGCUCGUACUAUAUCCGAGCUUUAAAGACCCGACGGCUAAAUGCUAGGAUUCAAGUAAGACUUUGGUAUUGAGUAUCUGCAAUAAGUUACCAUCAAAUAAGUAUUAUGUAUUUAAGACGUUCAGGUACGUAUUACUUACUCAUCGGUAGAGUGAUUUCGAAGUGAAUUAUCAGUAUCAAAGAGGUAGGUAAAUGUGAUUAAUAUUACAACUCUAAAUAUGAGAAUGAUCUAAUUGGUAAUGGUAUGCUUGUAUAAUGAAGUAUGUGAUGAAAUAUUUUUAUGUAUUAGUGCAUAUUCUGCCCAAAAGCCUUAUGAUUUGAGUAUGGGUUGGGUUCAGCUAGAUGUGCCAGUGCAAGGUAAGGAUUAUGUUUUGUAAGCUUACGUAUACGUUAUAAGGAAUACGUUUGGUUCUUUAUGUGCCUACGGUAAUUUAGUACUUGUCAUGUGGAAAUACUUAAAAAUAUGGAUGUGAUUAUGAACAAGUGGAAAAGAUUAUUGUAAGUUGAAAAUUGAUGAAGAAUGUGCUUUGGAAAUAUUUGACCAUCUAGGUCAUUAUCAUUCGAAAGUAUAUAUGUGACAGCCAAGUGAUGCGUUUAUUGAUAUUAUAGUUCGAGAUGAAGCUCUAGAUUAACUUCAUCGAACAGUAGAAAUGAAUGACCAUUGAUAGUGAAUGAGAACACUUUGUUUUGCUUAAAACUUACUAAGCUUACAAAAGCUUACUCUGUUCGAUCAUGUUUUGGUUUAUAGGUUGUGGAUUCUGACUACCAGCUCGGGGAUCAUCAGCACUUCGUCACACUAUCUACCACUAUGGCAACUAUGUAAUUUGACUUAGCUUAUGGCAUGUAUAGGAUAGACAAUAUAGUAGAAUGAUAUUUUGACUAUUGUAUAUAAGCCAUAUGAAAAUGGCAUCUUUUGGAUGUUUACAUAUAGAAGUUUACAUUUUAUCCUUGGCUGAGUUUAGUGUUUAUCCAAAUGAAUGAAGAAGAAAAAUCAAAAAAAAAGUAAAAAAAAAGUUUUACCGUUCUGUCAUGAGUUACAAGUCUGGUAAUGCCCCUUACUUAUUCCGGCGAUGGUUACGGGAUAGGGGUGUUACAGAUCUUCAGACAUGUCUCCUUCAGCGAUUGCUACAUACAUCAGAUCUUCAUUGGGAAAACUGAAAUUUAAAGGUUCAUAGUCCUCUAGAGCUUUACUGGCUAGGAAGUCUGCUAUUGCACUCCCCUUCACAGCUUUUUGGUUUACAUAGACUAUAUCAAAUUCAGAGAGCAGAAUCUGUCAUCGGGCCAUCCUUCCAUUUAAAGUGGUUGAUUCCAUCAUGUAUUUGAGAGGGUCUAGCUUUGAGAUUAGCCAAGUUAUAUGGUACAAUAUGUAUUACCUCAACCUUUGUGUUGUCCAAACCAAAGCACAGCAUAGCUUCUCAAUUGGCGGAUAACUCAUUUCACACUCAGUGAAUUUUUUACUGAGGUAGUAUAUCGCUCUUUCUUUUCUCCCAAUCUCAUCGUGUUGGCCGAGCACACACCCCAUUGAAUUUUCAAAUACUGUUAAGUACAGUAUCAAUGGUCUGCCAGGGCUUGGUGGUGCUAGCACUGGGGGACUGGACAAAUAUUGUUUAACAUUUUCAAAGGUUUUUUGGCAUUCAUCAUCCUAUACCCCAGGAUUAUGCUUUUUAAGAAGACGGAAUAUGGGGUCACACUUCUCAGUCAGCUGCGAAAUAAACCGUGCGAUAUAGUUUAGUCUCCCUAGGAAACCUCAGACUUCUUUCUGAGUUUGUGGCGGUGGCAGCUCUUGAAUAUCCUUGACUUUAUCAGGGUCGACUUCUAUUCCCUUCUCACUGACUACGAAGCCGAGUAACUUUUCGAACCUAGCUCCAAAGGUGCAUUUUGACGGAUUGAGGUUUAAUUGGAAUUUUCUCAACCUCAGGAACAAUUUUCUCAACACUCGCACAUGCUCCUCUUCAGUUCGGGAUUUUGCAAUCAUGUCCUCAACGUAGGCUUCAAUUUCCUUGUGCAUGAUGUCAUGAAACAAGGUUACCAUGACUCUUUGGUAUGUGGCUCCUGCAUUUUUCAACCCGAAGGGCAUCACCUUGUAGCAAAACGUUCCCCAUAAAGUUAUGAAUGUGGUUUUUUCCAUAUCCUCAAGAUGCAUCUUAAUCUGAUUGUACGCGGAGAACCCAUCCAUAAAGGAGAACAGUGAAUAGCCUGCCGUAUUAUCCACUAGAGUGUCUAUGUGAGGCAAUGGAAAGUUAUCCUUUGGGCUGGCUUUAUUUAAAUCUCUGUAAUCUACACACAUCCGUACUUUCCCAUAUUUCUUAGGGACAGGGACGACAUUGGCCACCCAUUCUGAAUAAUUGACCACCUGUAGGAAUCCAGCAUUAAACUGCUUCUUGACUUCUUCCUUUAUUUUUAUUGCUACAUCGGGUCUCAUCCUCCGGAGCUUCUGCUGAACUGGCUUACACUCCUUUUUUGUAGGGACACGGUGUACUGCGAUAUCGGUACUUAAACCAGGCAUAUCCUGAUAUGACCAUGCAAAGACGUCCUUGAAUUCUUGCAACAGCUCAAUAAGGUUCUGUCUUGUUUUCUCGUUAACGCAAGUGCCAAUUUUAACUUCCCUCCCCUUUUCCAGGGCCACAAUCUCAAUAGUCUCUUUGUGUGGCAGGAUCUGCUCCUCUUCUCGCUCCACCAUCCUUAACAAAUCGGGAGAUAAACCACAAUCCUUGUCCUCUUCAAAAUCCUGAAGUCCCUCAAAGCACAUGUCUCGCUCGAAAGGAAAUUUCGGGCUCGUAUCAGCAUUACUCAUGACGUUGACAUCUGGGGGCCUAUUAUGAGUAUAAGAGAAUACCCAAAAAAAAUAAGAUGAAUAAUUCCUUUGUAUGUUAUGAUUGUGUAUGAAAUAAAAAGGAAGAAAAAAUAAUUGCUCGAACUGAUAUAUGAAAAUGCAUUUUUUAUUGAAAAUAAUAAUGUUUGAACAUGAGCCUAUUUCACAAAAGAUUCUUAUUGUCCCUAGGCUAGAAGACAACAAGUGGGUUUUGAAUAUUACCCUGUGUUAGCUCUAAAGAUUACAGGAAUUUCUUCCACAGUCCAGUUAUUCAAAACACUCCCAGGCUCAUACGGGUAAAUGCCCGAUAAAUUCCUUUCCAUUGCUUCCUCUUAAAACGUGGCGUUGAUGUUCCAAAUUCCUAUCACAUCCUCGACCAUUCCUUCUUUUAUCCUCUCCGGUGCAGAAUGAAUAAACCCUCCGGAUACAAAUGUUUGGAAAAUAUGGGGGAAGCUCAUCGGUUCCCACCUGACUUCUGUCUCACUCAAUCUUGCUCUCCGCUGUUCCUGUUUCUUUUCAAACUCCUUCUUCACUUGGCUUGCAUCUGGCCUGAAUCCCAAACCGAAGCGAUCCCACUUGCCAACCAAGACUGGCAUUCUAACUUGUCCACGGAGGUGCCUUCCGAGUCCUUUGCUAGGUAAUGCCCCUUUCCCAACUGUCAGUUGCAGGCUCAUUUUCAUAGCCCCUGACAUCUUAGGUAUUGGAAUCCUGCUUCCUUCAGCUAUAAACAUUGCAUUUACAAACUCUAAUGAUCGAAAUGAACAUUCAACCGCUUCGUUGUCAUUCUCUACGUAGGGUGCAUCACUGGUAACUGACGCAAUAAUGUCCUCCUCCGCAUUUAUUGUUAUUAGCCGACCCUCAGUAACCAUCUUUAGCUUCUGGUGCAGCGAGGAUGGCACUGCCCUAGCUGAGUGAAUCCAAGGUCUUCCUAAUAGACAAUUAUAGGAAGGCUUAAUAUCCAUCACGAGGAAAUCUACCUCGUACGCAUUUGGGCCAAUCUGAAGAAGUACCUCUAUCCUUCCCAUUACUUUUCUUUCUGUGCCAUCAAAAGCUCUUACUAUGUUCUGACACGUCUUCAUAUGGGAAUUGUCUAUAGGUAAACGGUUUAACGUAGCCCAAGGUAACACAUUCAAUGCGGACCCAUUAUCAACUAGUACUCCGGGUAGCGUAUACCCCUUGCAACGUGUAGUGAUAUGCAGAGCCUUAGUAGACCCCCUACCCCCUAAUGGUAUCUCAUUAUCGCUGAAGGAGAUGAAAUUGUCAGCACUUAUGUUACCGACAAGAUGAUCCAGUUUAUUAAUCGAAAUGUCAUCCGCAACAUAGGUUUCGUUCAACACUUUCAUCAAUGCGUUGCGGUGGACUUCCAAAUUUAACAGCAGAGCCUAUAUCGAUAUGCGAUCCGGCUGUUGGUGUAGUUGUUCCACAACACUAUACUCGUUGUGUCUUAGGAACUUCAAGAACUCUUUGGCUUCAUUUUCCAUUACUGGCUCAUUAACCAGUGGUUCUGAUAUCUCUACUUCUUGCUUGAGCAUGACGAGUUUCCUUUUUGCUGGUUCAGCUUUUGUGUUUGGCGUGUUAAUCGAACCCUCCUUCUCUACAACUGCUAUACUACAAUUAUAAUUCCAAGGCACUCUAUGACUAUCUUUAUAAGGGGAAACUGUUGGCUUCUGGAUUAUAACUCUUGGUGUAACUCUUACUUCUACUUUACUAACUCUGGGCUUCGAAAUAAUUAUCACUGGACGGCUGGCUCUACAGCCUUCUUCACUCGACUCUUCUCCUAGAGAGCAUACAUCCUCCUCUUCGAUAGACUCGAGGAACUCCAAUUCCUUAUUAUCCAUUAGACCCUGUACUAGGGCCCUGAACUCAAUACAAUUCUAGAUCUCGUGAUCUUUCUCAUGAUGGAACUCACAGUAUUUCCAUGUAUCUUGGAUUUUAUCCCUUAACCCCUACGGGACUAAACCUCUCUUCUGCAUUUCCUACCAAACUAGCUUCAAUGGGGUUCUCACCUCCGCGAUAUUUAGCUUGACUUUCCUCCCCAUAUUCUCAAUUAUCGCGUUUACCCUUUUAUCAGUAUGUUUGGGCAACGGAUUUCCCGUACCAGGUGUAUCAUCAAAUUUUACAACACCUGCUUUGAUAAGCCUUUCUACACACCUUUUGAACGAGGUACAGUUUUCUAUCGAGUGCCCCGUAAUCCCCACGUGGUAUUCGCACUGAGUAUUUGCAUCAUACCGUUUAGGGUAUGGGGGUUGUAACGGUUCUAAGUGGAAAGGGGCCACUACGUGUGCAUCAAAUAACUUUUUGUAGAGCUCCCUAUACGUCACUGGUAUGGGAGUGAACUGGAACCUCUCUGUAUUCUGCCUUGUAUUAGGCUCUCGCCUUGGUGCGGCCUGUUGGCCUGUGACUAUCGUUCUCGAUUGGUUAACCGUGACAGGUUUUGAAUACCUUGAGCUCACAUUACCUACCUUAUUUUCUCUUUUCUUCGGGGCUGACCUUCUUGUGCUUUCUCCCAUUUCUAUCUUCCCACAUCUUAUCGCAUUUUCUAUUAUUUCGCCUGACGUCAUUAUGUCUGCGAAACUUUUAGUUGCGCUUCCCAGCAUAUGAUUGAUGAAAGGUGCCUUCAAUGUAUUGACAAACAGCAUGGUCGUUUCUUUUUCCAGUAGUGGUGGUUGAACUUGUGUGGCAACUUCCCUCACCUAUGGGCAUACUUCCUAAAACUUUCACCCGGUUUCUUCUCCAUGUUUUGUAACGUGAUCCUGUCAGGUGCGAUAUCCGUUACAUGGCCAUAUUGCUUCAUGAAGGCCUGAGCUAAGUCUUUCCAUGAUUUUGAUUUGGGUACAACUUAACUGAUUGUACCAUUUCGCCGCAGCCCCAAUCAAACUAUCUUAAAAACAGUGAAUCAACAGCUGAUCAUUGUUGACAUACCCCGUCAUUCUCUGGCAGAACAUUGUAAUGUGAGCCUCCGGGCAGCUGGUUCCAUUAUACCUUUCAAAUUCUGGCAUCUUGAAUUUCGGAGGGAGUACUAAGUCCGGUACCAAACUCAAUUCCUUAGCAUCAACCUCGCAAUAAUAAUCUGUACCUUCUAAUGCCUUGAACCUCUCUUCUAACCACUUGCAAUGGUCUUCGAACUGUUUUGGGAGCUCAGCCCUUGCUUUUUCAUUUUCUUCAACAUCGUCGAGGUCGGGGAUAGUUGGUUUUGCCAAAUUAUCACCCGGAUUAGAACUUGAGCCUGUUGGGAGAUUCCCCAGUGCUGAAGUACCAGAUUGAUACUAAGGUCUAAUAUUAACAGACACCUUGGGUGGUUGGGCACUUGCUGGGGCAAAUCCAGGAGGACAUGUGGAGUCUUCAUUGUCGUCCCCACUAUUACCCAUAGGGCCUUUUCCCUUGUCAGACCCCCCUUCAACAGCUGUGUUAGCUGGCUCAUCAUGUUGUUCUGUGACUCAGCAUGUUUUUCUGGGACUCUAGCAUUUGAUCCUUCAUCUCCUGCUGGAUCCUAGCCAGCUGUUCUUGCAUCUGAGCUUGCAGUUGCUCCUGUAUUUGUUCUAAUUUCUCUAACCUCUUAUCCAUAUCCCUUAUUUUCCUCCGUGUAUAGUAGCGAUGUUCCAGGGUAACUAGAUAAAUUAUUACUAAUUAAUAGGGUUCUUUUGUGUAACUUAAUGCAUAUGAUGCGAUGUGAUGUAAAUGUAUGAAAUGAAUGCAAAACUAAGAAGGCGUCAAUUCUGAUUCAAUUUCUUUUAAAAGAACUUUAUUGGAAAACAGAAAACUUUACAUAAAACGGGUUAUAUAUACGGCCUAGCCCUUAUGCCCAAAGUUUUAAUUCUCUCGAGAAGCCCAGCUAGCUCUCGACCUCGAUCUGACUCUAAUUCAUACUUUACACUUAACACGUCAACUUGAACUGCUAGAGUUUGCAAAUGCUCCGCUACCUCUCGAAUCUGAGCCACGGCCUCAUCCAUGAUGCGAUUUCUGUCCCUAACCUGGUUCUGAGAUCUAUGUAGCAGCUCUUUCCAAUGCUCAUUAUCUGACUCAAGAAGUUGAAUUUGAAGUUCACGGUUCUGAAGUUCGGUCUCAAGUUCUUCUAUCUUCCCUCUCAAAUCCUCAAUCCUGUUUAAGCUUGCCUUCAGCUCUACUGCAGAGUUGCGACUACGAGAUUGAUGAAGCGCCAUCUCUAACUACUCUACUUGAGCUCUUAACAUUUGUUUUUCAUUCUGGCUUUCAACCAAACUCUUUUUUAAAAUGCUCUCUCGUGCACAAGUAUCAUGAAAUCUUUUUUCCCAUUGUUCGGCUUUAGACCUUUCCUCUUGGACCUCUUAUCGCCAUUGCUCUGACGUCUUUCCCAGUCCAGCAUUUCUCAUUGACUUAUGUAGCUACCGGUAAUCGGUCUUCAAAGCGUCCAAGUCCUCAUCAGCUUUUCUUUUCCCUUUUCGCAGUUUCUCAGCCUCGAGUUUCUGAACGUCGAUAUCUAACCUUAGAUGCAUCAUCACUUCCUCCAACUAAUCUAUCUUCUUUCCUAACUCUGAAUUUCUCCUUUUGAAGUCUUGUUUUAUAAUUUCCAGCUCGGAAGGAAUGACUCGUAAGUGUUCUUCCAUCGAUUGGACGCCUUCUAGACUUGGCCUCGGAAUAUUAUCAUUGAUCCUCUUACUCAACCACCUACUGUACUCAGGAGUCGUCAUUGGGCAUCUAGUCAACUUCUUCAUUCGGGGUGUCUGUUUCCAGACAUCGGAGAUUUCUCGAACUCUCUUAUUAUAAUUAUCCCCUUUACACAAAAAUUCACUAUGAACAAACCCAUGUGUCGCAGGUACAAACUGCUCUAACUCAUACUGCCUUAACACCAACAAAGGGGCAUCCCCAACAACUUCCCAAACUCCAAGCAGAGGUACCCAGUCAAAAUUUCCUCACCGGUAGAGGACUUCAUCGGGAACCAUCCAAGGGGCCUUCCAUUCCACAUCUUUUUCUUGGAGAUUUUGGAGAAUUGUCAUCCACCUUUCUUCUGAUAUGUCGUCCCUCAUGGGCGUAGCUGCUAUCUCCUUCAAAGGGGAAUAAUUUUAAAAGAAAACUCGAUUCGGCCUUCUGUGAACUUUCCAGAAAUGGCCAUGGAACCAAACCAAUAAUAAUUGCGUGCAUCCCACGAAUCUUCCCUCACCUGCCCUUCGACACGCAUUUAAAGAUCUGAAUGUCUCUGCUAGAAUUGAUGGUACCGGUGUAGCCCGUUUGGCAAGCUGAUCAAAUAAAUCAGUGACGUCGAUAUGUCGUAACGCUUUGGGAAAGAUCACUAACCCAUAAAUGCUCAAGGCAAAAACGUCAACCUUCUUCUUUGCAUCUGGAUGUGCCAGGAUUAAGUCUCUCAAGUUCACCCAAUGAAUGCAUUUCCCCUCAACUUUUUGUUGAAUCCGGGCUGUAACCCACUGCUCACUCAUCCCAGUGACGUUCAUUAGCUUCUUUACAAAACUUGGUACAUUGGGGACCUUAACAUACACUCUGUCCGUUUGAAACCUUGGACAACGCAACAGGGCUGAAUACUCCUCCACGGUUGGCACCAAGUCUACUUUCCCGAAGGUGAAACAACUAUAUGCGGGGUUCCAAAACUGAUUCAUAGCUCGAAACAAGUACUUGUCUACCUUAAUGUCGAGCAUGUAAGGCAGAUCACCGUAGUUGUAGUAGAACAAUUUCUUGGUCUCAUCAUUCCAGUGGGCCCAUAUAUUCCUCAAUUCUUGGAGCUCAUUCUGUGUCACACUAAUACGGGUGAAGUCCUAUAAUUCCGACGCGUACCCCUUUGCCAGGCUAUCCCCUUUCUCGAGCUGAGCAUUCUCUGACCAUGCACGGACAACCGCAUUAUCCCCCACUUUAUCAAGAAGUCCGCUCUCCAUGACAAGCUCUCUAAGUUAGUAAUCGAACAGGUAUUGACACCUUCCUAAAUAUGAAAUGACAUGCAAUCAUGGCAAAAAUAAAACACAACAAGUUAGUAUCAAAUAAUAAAAAUCAAAGCAAGCAAGAAAUAAUCAAAAACCUAUUUGGGUAAUCACUAGAAUUUGGCAUAGCUCUACUUAGGGUAGGUCCCUAAGGGUUACUAUAUGCGGUUCAGUUCUAAGGAAAUGGUACCUGAACCAGCAGAUUCCUUGAUCUUCACCCAUUAUAGGCUCAUAUGGAUCGAGUUCAGUUCAGGGGGAUACAUUUCCCUAUGGCCAUGCGGAGGUGAAAACCUCACGAAACCAUAGGUACGGAUGUAUCUCGGAAGCGAUCCACUAGCCCAUGCAGAGGUGAAAACCUCACGAAGGCAUAGCUUUUCACUCCCACUUAAGGGUGCGACCACAACAAACAUGCAGUAUGAUGCAGGAAUAACAUAAGAGAAAAUAAAAAUGAUACUAACAAAUGUGACGGAAGAAAACAUAAUUUCAAAACACAAUUUCCAUUUUCGAAAAAAGGACAGAAAUUAAUCAAUUUUACGGCUUGACUCUCUUUAAGUCCCCAGUGGAGUCGCCAAGCUGUCGAAACCAUUUUUAAUUUUAAAACGUGUUUAAACCUUGCUUGAACUGUGUAUAAAUGUAACUGUCGAAACCAUUUUUAAUUUUAAAACGUGGAUUGACUUUAAAAAACAUGGAUGGAGUCGCCACCAAUUCUUUUUGAGGUGUAAUUGGGCCACCUUAUAAAGCAUUUUGGUCUACGAAUGUUAAGAAAAUAGGUUCGGGAAUCAAUUACGUACGAGGAAGGAUUAGCACCCUCGUAACGCCCAAAAUCGGCAUGAAGUCGAUUAAUAAUGUCCUUAUUGUUGAAAAUUUUAAGAGAUUUUAAAAUAUAAUUCUUUUAGAAAAUAUUUGAAUGGUUCGUUUUGGGAUAUUAAGGUUUAUUUUUCCAAAAGGACAAAAUGUCACACCCAGCACGUUAGGAUGCAACAUUUUAACCCUCAAGACCCAAAUAGUCCCUUAAUUUUCUGAAACCUGAGACUAGAAGGAUAUUUAGACAUUUGGAUGACCGAAAAAAACCACAAUCCAGCACGUUAGGGCACGACUCUUUUGGACUUCCAAACGCGAAACAUUGCCUUGUUUUAUAAGACUUUUGAAAACGAUCUAAAGUCAAUUAAAAAUGUAUUUAUUUAAUUUAUUUUUGAAAAAAAAAACUAAGAACUGGCUUAAGUGAGUUUAAAUUUGAGUCGUUAUACCAUACAAGGAAACAUGUAUGCCAUUGUGAAAUAUAUAACAAUAAUCUAAUGCAACAAUAUAAUACGACUAAAUCAUAACAUGAUCAGAAGAUAUGCAUAUAAAGUAAAAGACAUAAUUUAAAUUGAAUAUAUACGCAAAAUAACAUAAGAAAAUAUUUUGAAGACCGAGGUAUACUUUGAAAUGGGAUUUAAAAGAAACAAAUGUAUGAAUAAAAUAUAAUAUAUAUUUAUAUAUAUAUAUAAAAGAAUAUGGACAGCAAGCAAUAUGAAAUCAAUAAUAAUAUAUAGUAAGGAGUAAUAAAUAAUAAUAAUUUAGUAUAAAAUAACUGAUAAAAAAAAUGGUGUAUAUAAAAAAACAAUAUGAUAAGUCCAUUAAAGAAUAUAUUUGAAGGAAAAAAAAAGUUUUAGGGAAAAGAAUGUAUAUAUAUAAGUUAUAAGUGACAAAAAAAUGGUAGUAAAUAGUAAAAAUAAUGAAGAAAAUAAGAAGUAUAAUAAACUAUAUUUAAAAUUAUGAGCCUAAAAAAAACUAAAUAGUAUAAAAAUGCUUAUUAGUAAAAAAAAUAUAACAAAUAAUAUAAUAAAUAUGAUGAAAAUUUAUACAUAAAAUAAUUAACUUUGCUAAAAAAAACCUAUAAUAAGCAUAUAACAUAAAAUGAUAUAAUAAUGUAAAACAUAACUCAAACAAAUUAAAUUAACAGAGAAAAAAAAAUGAAAAUAAGGCUCAAAUUAAUUAAGUCAGCGGUAAAAUGACAAAAGAGCAAGGAAAAAAAGGUUAAAUUGCAGUGAAACGGGAGUUUCGGGGCGAACUUUAGAAAAAAAAAAGCCACAUGGGCUAAAAUGAACGUACGGGCUAAGAGGGAGGACCAGGAAAGCAAAUUUCCUCAUACUUCAAAGCGCAGUGUUUUGGUAUAGGACGAAAAAGCGAUAAAAUCCAAGUUUUUGGGCCAAAUCGUAAUUAGCCAAAGUUCAAAAGGGUCCAAAUUAAAAGCUAGAGUAACAGGGAGGGAUCAAUUGCAAAAUAACCCUCCCCAAAAAAUCAAGGCACCAAACGGUGCUACUUUAUAAACUUAUAAAGCAAAAAGAAACCCCCUUUUUGCCUUGCUAAAGAUUUAACCAAGUUUAGCACCGUAUCUGAGGGUCAUCGGCGCCAUGCACCUCUGCCUCUAUCGGCGCUUCACGGAGCAAAAUCGGGUAAGCCUUCUUCUUUUGGUUUUAUUCAAAAUCGAUUUAUCAAAAUAUGAAAGAACAAAAAGAAAUAAAAAGGGAAGGAAAAAAAAGUCUUGUAAAAGAAUGAAAAGUAACCUCUUAAACCUUAAAUCUCACUUUGAUUGCUAUUGCUUGUUCUCUUUGUAUUCAGGGAAAAAAAACCGUUUCCAAAUAUAUUGUUUAUCUUAGGCUUUAUAGCCUUGUUUUACAAUUGUUUUUGCUGUAGGCAAGGCUGACGUGGGAGCCGUGGGUGCGAGGGAGUCGGGGGCACAAGGCGUGUUGGACGUAAGUGUCGACGUGGUGCGCAAGAUCUGGCUGCUGGGAACUGCUUGCGGUUGCUACUCCUUAGGUUAGGAUUUCCCAUUUUUGCUUUAUUGGUUUUGGGUUUGUUUAGUGGGUUUGUAUUUGUAUUGGGCUAAGUUUUGUUUUAGUGGUUAAUUUGUUUAGGCCUAGGUUUGGGUUUGUUUAAAAAUUUGGUCCUACAAUAACCUUAUAAUUCAUAUUUAUAUUUUAUUAAUUAUUUAAUAUUUCAACAGAAGUCAACGAUUUUUAAUAUAUUUGUGGCAAACAAUAUAUUAAUUAAUUAAGGUUGAAGCUCUAAAUUUCAACACAAGCAUGGGUUAGAGUUAGAAGUCAAUGAGUUUUAUAUAGUUGUGGAAAGAAACAUGAUUUAAUUAAAAUGAGUGCAACAUUUGAACUAAUACUAAAAGAGUACAUUGUGCACUGAUAGGAAUAAGUGAAAGCAAGCAACAAGAUUCAUGACACCCACUGCUGCAUUAAAAAUUAAUUUUAUUUUAGUCAAAUAUUAUUUUUUUGUUAUUGAAAUUCAACGCCAUUGUUUAAGGAGUGGUUUCUUGAAGCAUGAGAUAAUUCUUAAGUUUAAUGUUGGAAAUGUAUUUGGUGUUAUUUACAAUAAAAGUUGUAUCUCUUGAUUCUAUUAAGAGCUCGAGUGUGAUGUUAGAAGUAAGAUGAAUUUGAUGAACGAGUUAUUAAAAAAUUAUUAAUGUCUAAAUUUAAAUUUAUCUUAAAAGGUGUUGUUUAAAUUUAUUCUAUUAUAGAUUUAAAUAUAUAUUUGCUUUUUGUCCAUGUAUUGUAAUGAAUAAAUUCUAGUCGUAUUUGUUAUUCGAACUUUACCCUCUUAUUAUAAUUUAUCGACAAAAUUGAGAGAAGAAAUAUUUAAAAAUCUUAGCUCAAAUAUUUUUCAGAAUUGUAUGUAAAAAGAUAAAAAUACUCUAUUUGUUAUUUGUUGUUUUAUAGUUUUGGUAAUUUGUUUUAUACAAAUUCAAGGAGGAUUUGAAACUGGAUUGAAAGUCAAAGUUUUAGAUAAUUAAUGGAGAAUGGCUGUGGUGGGAGAGAGUCAAAUGAAAUUAAGUUUUAUUUAUUGAAAUUCAACGGAGGGGGAUCGUGAAGCAUGCGAUAAUUUUUAAGUUUAUUUAUUUAUUUAUUUCUGGAUUAAUUUAAUUAUAUUGGGUUUAGGGUUUGGGAAAGUCAUAUUUUCUCCAUUUUUUAAUUGAAAGCCCGCUACAAAAUCUCUUUGAAUCUAUCUUCUCUAUAUUUUAUUUCAAGCCGGCGAUAAAUAUAAACAAUAGUAUUUAAGUAACCCAUAAGCGUAACCGAAGAGUUUCUUGACCAUUCCAUAUAUGUUUUUAUAUUUUUGAGAUUUUUUAAGUUUAGGCUAAUUUUAAAUUUCAAAAUUUGAGAAUUAUCCCUUUUUCUUAUUUUAUGAAAAUAAGAAACUAAACCCAACUUGAAUAACUGAUUUUUAUAAAUUUGUAGAAUAUAAAAUGUUAAAUUAUUGGUUUUAUUAAUUCUUUCUAUAUAAAUGAUCGAAUUGCUUAAUUCUAAAUUAGUGGUUUAAUAAUUAAUUUUACCAAAUUUAUAUAAUUAGACUAGUUUCUCAAUUUUUAUUUAGUACCAAAAUUAAAGUAAAGUGAUUAAUUCUUUUUUUUUUUUUUAAAGUAGAAGGAUAAAAUUUUGAAAUAAACUCUUUUACUUUAUCGAGAGUUGAUAUCACAAUUAACCCUCCAACUUUCAUCCAAUGUGUAGUAUAAACCUAUAAAAAAAAAAUCUAAUUUAGUAAAUACAUGUAUCAAUCUACCCAUGUAAGUAAUGGGUUUUCUCUUUUAUGAUGACAGAAACAACCAAAGUUCAUCAACUUGCAAUAUUUGUAUGGUCAUUAUAUAUCUUAUAAAAUAUAAAUAAAUAAAAAGGGGGAAGAUAUAUGAGAAUCCGAGGGAUGGAUGCUACUAUCACUACUCCUUGAAAGCACAAAACAAAUAUCCCAAAAUUCCUUUUAUGUUGAAAGCUUUUUUGCAACUUCAAAAACCAUCUAAGUAAUUUUUCUUUAAAGCUUAAAAUAUGAACUUUGCUUGCAUUUUAGUUAAUUAAUUAGUGAAAAGAAGGUUUCUUUUGGGCGUAAAGUUUCUUUUAACAUAUACUAAUGACUCAUAUUUUUAUUUCCUUCAAAAUUAAGAUAAAGGGAAUCUUGGUUCCCAGUUCCCAUUAAUUUUUUUUUUUGAUGAUUCGUUCGUCAAUUCAUGAUGACAAUAUUUUGCUUUCAAGUGGUAGGCAACUAGUUUGCUUUGUUCUAGUCGUUUGAAAUUGUUGAAAUGAGAUAGGAGUAGAUAUAAAAAUCCAAACUCAAAAAAUCACUUAAAUAAAUAAUAAAUUUACAUUUCGUCACAAUAUAUAAAAUUAUAUUAUUAAUUAACUUCAUUUUUCUCUUAAUAUUUUGGAUGGUGGUGCUUUGGACCAUUGCACAAAAUGGGAAAUGCCUCACUUCAAAUUAAUUCAUUCCAUAUACGUAAAGUUGUCCAAGUUGAGGUUGCAAUUUCUUAGAUCACUCUUGUCUUGUCGAUGAAUUUUAACUUCCAAUGCACUAAUAAUGUAAUUUUUUUUAGAAAUUGUAUAUGAUAUGAUAUUAUAUGGUCCAUUAAUAAUAAUAAUAAUAAUAAUAAUAAUAAUAAUAAUAAUAAUAAUAAUAAUAAUAAUAAAAGAGAUAAAAAGGCUCUUUUUGCAUUUUUGCAAUCAAUUUUGACAAUCUAAAUUCAAAUUGUAAUAUGAACACAUUGAUUUGCCUAAUCUAUUUUGUUGGGGUUAAUGUUUUGAAUGGAUUAAAUAAUUUCCAAUUAAUGUACUUGCAUUCCAACAAGCCUGUUUAUUGUGUUUUUCCCCUUGCUUUUCCACAUUGUUUAUUAAGUACUUGUUCAAAGGCGGCACAUUUUUUAUUUGCUUAAAUCAUGCUUUGUAUUGGACCAAAAUUCCUUCAUUUUAAUAUUUGUGGAGUUGCUCAAACAAAUUGUGGUGGUGACCCCGGGGGGGGGGGUAUAAAUUACAUUAAGAAUUUGACUUACCUCUUCAUAUCAUCAGAUUAUUACAAGAAAGAUUGAGGCAUUAUGUCAUGCAAGUUGAUUGGAAACCGUAGAAAAUCUGUCCUAAAUGAAUUUUAUUUUAAGAAAUUCAGUUAUUUAAUCUUUAUUUGGUGGAUUAAUUGCAACAUCUUUAAUAUAGGAUUUAUAUUCUAAAUUAAAGUCUGAACUUCAAAAUAGUCUAAUUUAAUUAUCAAAGUAUCAGUAUUAUAUUAACUUCAUUCGUCAAUCGAGUCGUCAACUUGAACGUUAAUUGUUAGCUUAGAUCAAUGUGAAGCUAUUUAAUAUACAUAUAUGCACCUACUACACGAAUAACGUAAAUAUGACUUAUUAAAAAAGACAGUUACAUUAGAAGUUUUUAACAUUCAUGUUUUAAAACAUUUUAAUUGAUAUAAUUUUGAUACUUUAAAUUCUUAAAUCAAAUUUAAAAAAUAUAAUUUAAAGACAUUCAAUUUGGUGAUGGUAGAUUAUUUAGGUGCAUGUUUUUGGAACAUUUCAUUUGUUUCAACUUUCAAAGAUAUUGUGCUGUGCGUAAUCAGAUAUUCUGAUGCAAAAAUCGUUUUGAAAACGAGAUGAUUUUUUUUCCAUUGUUAUCUAAAAGAAAAACAGCAACUUCAAGAGUUUAUUUUUUUUUAAAAUCUUAAUAUAAUAAGAAAAUGAUUGUGGGAUUGGAUGGUUAUUCACCAGAUUUGAUUAUAGAUUUCGUGGGAGAUCAAUCUUGUUUGUUAAGGUUGAAAACAGCCGCAAAGGAUAUUGUAGUCGAAUAUUGGAGCUCAGAAUCUUAUGCCAUCACUUGCUUUUUUUGGUUUUUCUUAAUGACAACAAAUACAAAUAGCCAUUAACGCAGAGACAUUAAUAAACAUAUUAAUUUAUAUAAUUCUUGUGUUUAAUUUAGUUUAUUUCUGAAUUAAUUCCUGCUUAAUUGGUGUUUUUAUGAUUUAAUCUUGUCAGGGAUGCAAUUGGUUAAAAACGAGUAAAAAUGGACCAAAUUAAAAGACAAAUCGUUGAGUUGAGGCCAAAUAAAAAAGAUGGGGAAAGCCAAGGAUUUAACAUAAAUUUUGACUUUGUAAAAAGCUAAAAAUAGAAGAUAUUAUUUUGUUUUAUUUAGUUUUAUUAUUUAUUUUUAUUUUAUUUUAUUAAUUUAGAAUUAGACUAUUUUUAGUAAACCCCAUGUAUAUAACUAGGGACUUUUAGUUCUUAGAAAAAUCAUCCUUUAAUUUGUAUUCCUACUUCUACUUGGAAUAGAGUUGCUCUCUCUCUUGUAUUUCCUUUUUCAAUUUGGAGUUGGAAUAUCAUUUUUUUUUCUCUUCAAUUUGACGUUUUAUUUUGUAGCAUUGUCUCCAAUUUUUGUUUCUUUUCCAUAAUUGGGCCAAUUGCUCUACAAGUCCUUUCCAUUCAUUUCUUCACCAUAAUCCCCAAAUUUCUCUCCAAGCUCAUAAAGCAUGAACAAUUUCAUGCUUAACUAAAUUCUAACUUAGCUUUAGGCCGGUGUUCUUUCCGGUCGAGAAUUGUGAGAUUCGUACUCGCACCUAAAAUCCUUCCAAUCAGUAUUAAUCUUUUUCCUAAGUAUCGAGAUUGACAACUCAUCCCUUAAGGAUAAUUCGAUUUCAAAUACAAAAAGAGCUCGUUGGGUUGGAGUCGUGUUUUCUGACAGUUGGAGAAACGAAUCGGCCGUGCUGUAUUUGGAUCUCCGAGAACAAAUCGAGGAAGAGGUGAUCAGGUUUAAACGACCCACGCGGUUGAGGCCGUUAAUUCGAGUUGGGUUGUUCAGAACGCAAGGCUACUGAAGUCUUGAAUCGGGAACACGUGUAUCUCGGUUAGACUAUCGGUAAGGGUUGGUUUGCAGGACGUUCUGGGACCAGCUACGAGAGGAAAAAUUGGUGGUUAGGACGUUCUUAAUCACUAUAACCAGCUUAUCGUUUGAAGGAGAAGAUCAAUUUUCGAGGAUCGAUUCUUAACAUGGAAUUUAUCAAGUCUAAGGCUAAGGCUCAUUAUAUUUGAUUGCAAAUUCGAAUUUAUUUUCUGAUUUAUUUAAUUAUUUAUCUUAGCUGUUUUAAUUAUUUAAUUUCUAAUCAAUUUCAAAAUCCCCCGCUUUACUUAUUUAUUUGCUUAUUUUUCAGCUGGUACGUUUUGAGUCGUGGGCACGACUCUAGCCACGACCCUUGACAUGACAUUCUGUUCAUAAGCCAAACUCGAAAGUUGAUUAGAGUACCAAUCCCUGUGGACUCGACCCUACUACCACUCUGACUACUAUUUAGAGUAUUUAGUAGGAAUUAUUUUUGGUGGAUUCGACGCCCAUCAAAUUUUGGCGCCGUUGCCGGGGAUUGGAGAUAUUUUCUAACUUUUAUUUGUCUACCUUAUGACCAGAUCAAACCGGGAAAUCUAGAGUUUGAGCCUGAAAUUGAGAAAUUGGCCCGACAACUAUGAAGAGAAGCCAUACGACGUGGUAAAUGGCCAAAUCCCGGAUUUGAAACUAUAUCUUACACCGAAGAAUUUUUUGACAAACCAGACGAGAUGGUUGAACAAACUAUACGCCAGCUCACAGCGGCACCGGAUGAACAACAACCCUUAUGUAUAACCUAUCCGGCAGGAGGAACGCCGUUUGAGCUAAAGUCUGGUUUGAUCCACCUAUUGCCCACUUUUCAUGGACUACAAAAUGAAAAUCCGCACACCCACCUUAAGGAGUUCUAUAUGGUGUGCACAAGCAUGAAGCCUCAGGGAGUAACAGAAGACCAAAUCAAACUUCGUGCUUUUCCGUUCCCAUUAGCUGACUCUGCUAGGGAGUGGCUAUUGUAUUUGCCUCCGGGAUCUGUCAACAUAUGGUCUGACAUGUCUCGUUUGUUUCUUGACAGGUUCUUCCCUGCAGCCCGGGUGGCCGAACUAAGGAGGGACAUCGUAGGAAUCCGUCAGAAGGACACUGAAUCGCUCUACGAUUACUGGGAGCGAUACAAAAAGUUGUGUGCGAGCUGCCUACAACAUAGACUGACUGAGUAGUCACUCUUGCAGUAUUUUUAUGAAGGUUUACUGCCGAUGGAAAUGAAAAUGAUAGAUGCUGCAAGUGAAGGGGCACUAGUCAACAUGACGCCUCAAAAAGCGAGACAGUUGAUUUCAACCAUGGCUGCCAACUCUCAAUAGUUCCGACCGAUUACAGAACCCACGAGACAGGUUCAUGGGUUAAGUUCUUUGUCUCUAGAAGAUAAGAUUGAUAAGAUGACUAAUGUUGUUCAAACUUUGUUUUCCGAUAAAACAGACCCAGCUCGGUUAUGUGAAAUUUGCGCCAAGCUAGACCACCCAACGUACUCAUGCCCGAUUUUACAGGAGGAUUCGAUAGAACAAGUGAAUGCUGUUGGGAACUUUCUAGGACCGCCCCAAAGACGGUAUGACCCCUACUCGAACUCAUAUAAUGUGGGGUGGAAAGAUCAUCCGAAUCUCAGUUAUGGAAUGAAUCCACGAUUCAAUUAGCCAUUUCAACAGAGGCUGCCGCAGAAUCAACAGAUACCACCCCCAAAGUCAUCUUUGGAAGCCAUAGUAGAAAGGUUAGCCAACAGUAUUGAGAAAUUCCAACAAAAAAUUGACAUGCAUUUGCAGGAAUUGGACAAGCAAGUGAGCAAAAUCACGUUCACGGUUAGUCGUUUGGAGUCCCAAGGUAAGUUGCCAUCCCAGACUGAGCCAAAUCAUUGACACAAUGCAAGCGCUAUGACGCUAAGAAGUGGGAAGGUUUUGUAACGAAUACCUGACACAAAUCGUGGCCACGACACUAGUCGCGCCUACGACACUAGUCAAGAUAGGGAGAAACUUGACGCAUAGGCUCCAGUAAAGUCAGUAGCACAAAACUCAUUUGCAGUUCACCUCCGUUUCCCGGAAGACUUGUUCAGUGCAGGAAGGAGCGAGACAAGAAGGAGAUCCUCGACACCUUUUGAAAGGUGGAAAUCAACAUACCUCUUUUCAAUGCAAUUAAGCAGAUCCCACGAUACGCAAAAUUCCUAAAAGAAUUAUGCACAAGUAAAAGGAAACUUUUGGGAAAUGAAAAGGCAAGUGUCGGAGAAAAUGUCUCCGCUGUUCUGCAACAGAAAAUACCGUCCAAAUGUAAGGACCAAUGUAUGUUUUUCAUAUCUUGUAAAAUAGGUAGUGUUGGUAUUAAAAAAGCAAUGUGUGAUUUAGGCGCAUCAAUUAAUGUUAUGCCUUUGUCAAUUUAUAAACUACUUAACGCAGGUCCUUUAAAGGAAACAGGUCUGAUAAUCCAGCUUACAGAUAGAUCUAUGGUACAUCCGGAGGGAGUAUUAGAGGACGUUCUUGACAAGGUAAACGAGCUAAUAUUUCCUGCAAACUUCUACAUUAUCGACAUGGAGGAUGACAAUUCGGCUAAUGCAUCAGACAUACUUCUCGGAAGGCCAUUUUUGAGUACCGCACAAAUGAAGAUUGACGUAAGAAGUGGGAUACUCACUGUGGAGUUCGAUGGGGAAGUAGUGAAAUUCAAUGUCUAUGACGCCAUGAACUAUCUUAGCAUGAUUUCUAAUGUUUCUAGCGUUGAUAUUAUUGAUCUUUUAAUCGAAUUACAUUUGGAAUAUCAUGACGAGGAUGAAUUACGAACUGUCCUUUGCAAGAGUUUAGACUUUGACACCAUUAAUGAACUGGAGGAGUGGAUAACAAUUGAAGAUUCUGUUUACGAAACAGUAGCUCAUAAGGAGCCAUCGCAACUACUGAAAGCUUUAGGUAAAACUUUUGAGUUAUCUCCCUCACAAACUAAGCUUGUACCGUCUGUAUUGCAGGCUCUGGAGUUAGAACUCAAACCACUCCCAGACCAUUUGAAGUAUGCUUUUCUCGGUGAAGGAAAUACACUACCAGUAAUAAUCUUGAGUAAACUCUCGAGGGUAGAAGAGGAAAACUUGGUGCAAAUUCUUAGGAACUAUAAAGAGGUAAUUGGAUGGACGAUAUUCGACAUCAAGGGAUUGAGUCCCUCGACUUGCAUGCACAAAAUCCAGGUUGUCGAUAAUGCUAUUCCUAAAAGGGAGGCUCAAAGGCGUCUCAACCCGCCUAUGAUAGAAGCUGUGACACCCCUAAAUUGACCCUAUUCGGAAAGCAGUUUCGGGACUGCUAAACCGAGUCACCAAAUUAUUUGAAUAUGAUAUUUAUUGUCUAAAAUAUGUGAAUAUGAAUGUGAGAAAGUUUUAAGCUUCGAUUUAGUCGACUUCAUGUGAAUUCAGCUAAUAGGACUUAUGUGUGACACUUUUGAAAUGUGAUAGGUUAAUCUAUAGGAUCUAUUAGUGCAUGUAAUAAAAGGGUGGACUUGCAUGUCAAUUUCCCCCUUAAUUUAGUAGUGGCCGGCCAUGACAAGGAAGGAGGACAAAAUGUUAUGGGCAAAACAUGUCAUAAACAUGUUAUGUUAGUGAUUUAUGUUAGGAAAAAUAAAAUAAGGAGUAUGGGUAAUAAAAUAAUAAUGCAAAGGGAGGAGUGAUGAAAAAAAAAUUGUCUCAUCCAUGUUCCCCCCUCCAUUGUCGUGAAUUGAAGGAAGAAAACAAAAGAAAAAAAAAUGUUCAUCUUCUUCUCCUACCUCUCUCAAGCCGAAACUAACCAAGAAAUGGAAGAAAGCACACCUAAGGCAUUCGGCCAUCUUGUGUGGGGGGAAUUAAGGUAUGAUAUCAUGUGAUUCUUUUGGAAUUUUUGUGAAGUUGAGUUUGUUUUGGUGCUCAUAACAUGACCCAUGUGUUAAUUUUUGAGUUUGUGUUGCAAGAAACAUUUGGUUAUGUCCUUAUAUGUCAAAUUGAUGAUAAAUUUUUGAUAUUUGGUGAAUGAAUAUGGGUUUCGGUCAUGGUAGAUAACAAAGAAUGUGGUUGUUGUUCUUGUUAAUUUGGAUGAAUUUUUGGUGGAUAGGUGCUUGAAUCAAACAAAUGAUCAUGUGUGUACACUAGGUGCUAGUUGAGAAGAAUCGGUCACUAUAUUGGAGGCCAUUGCGAAUAUGAGUUUAGUUAUUGAGUUGAUGGAAUAAAAGAAUGCUUAAAGAUGUGUUACAACAAAUUAUAUGUUAAGCUAAGGUUGUUAAAUUAUCAAUCUUUCUUCCUAGCCGAAUAUGUGUUUAUAAAGUUGAGUUGUUAAAUAGAUUUUGAAGUUAGCCCAUGCAUUUAUUUUUGAAUUUAAGAAGAAUGAUACAUUCGACUAUGCUUUGAUGUGCUUGGAUUGUUGUUCAUUGAGUAAAUGAUUGAGGAAUGGUUAGAAGAAUUUGAAUGCUAAACUAGUUGAUUUGUUUGAUGAUAUAUAUAUGUAUUCGGCAAUGGGAUAAAAUGUGUAUUAAGGUAAGUUUCAUGGUGAUUAUGCUUGUGAUGUUGGGUUAAUAUUCGGCAUUGAGUAAUGUGGGGUAAGGUGAUUAAUUGGCUAUGAAAUUAGCUAAAUUGAAUAGGUAUGUUUAAUAAUAUGCUUAGUAUAAUGUAUGAUCUUAUAACUCGGUUUGGUAUUGAGAUAAAGGUUAGAUGUAUGAUUGGAUUUUGGUAUGUGUUAAAUUGGUCAAUCAAAGAUUAAAUGAUAUGUGAUUGCCAAAUGUGAUUGUUAAGUGAAUAAUAUUAGUUAAGUACUUAAGCAAAUCUAUUGUUUUACUUAAGCUUAAGAGCAAAGAGGAUCAAAGUCGGAUAGGGGAAAAGAGAAAGUAAACGAAUAGCCGUGGACAUCUAAUCGUCGACCACUUCCGAGGUAAGUUUUAAGUGAUUAAGCAUUGAAUAAAUUCAAUCAUAAUAGGACAUAAUGAGUUGAUUUAAUAAGAUAUGAUGUGGCCAUGAUAGGUCUUAAACUCAAAUGGUAAGUUCAUAAGUGUUUGGACUUGGAAAUUUAAGAGCAAAUUGUAAUAAUUUGCUUGGACAGCAGCAGUAAUGUGACUUUAGAAAAUCACUAUAAAUUGUUGGUGUGGAAUUAUAGGCUGAAUAAAAUAUGUAAUCAAAUCUUAGUUGGUCUAGUUUCUUAUAAAAGAGACCGUGGAAGCAAAGAAAUUUCCUAUAAAGAGAUAUUUAAAGUUGUGUGAGACGGUGUCAGAAUGACUCCGAAAUCCCCUGUUCGGUUUUUAGAAAAUCAUUAUAAAUUGUACAAAAAUGGUUAUAAGAUAAAAUUUAUAUGCUUAGACUCCUUAAUGAGUCUAGUUUCAAAUUAAAUCAAAUACAACACAUUUUGAAUUCUGUAAAAUGAGAAAUUUGAUUCGUAGUGAAGAGUGGUCAGAUUAGUCAAAUAGUGAAACAGGGGAAACUUUAAGAAAAAUCUGGUAUUUAUUGGCCAAACCAAAAAUUCUGGAAAUUUUAUGGAUGGAAGAUAUACGAGUCUAUAUUCAGGAAAAAUUAACGGAAAGUGAUUUGGAGUUUUGUAGCUCCAGUUAUAAAUAAUUUAGUGACUAUUGCUCAGGAAAAACAGCUUGUGCUGAAUUUGAGAUUAUGUUGUAAACCUUGAUAAACUUGUUUUAGUUGCUCAUAAGCUAUUGAUUAAACCCAUACGUGAAUUCUAAAUUGUGAUAUUGGAAAAUGAUAGAUGUAGAUUCAGCCAAGACAGUGUGUAUACGUGAAAGUAUAUGUGGUAUGUGAAGUAUAUUUGGAUAAUUGUGAUGUGAAUACAUGAAAAUUUAUAUUUUGAUUUAGGAUUUUAUGUGAUGGAUGUGAACAUGCGUAUGUGUGAUAAGGCCGAAUGGCCAAUGUGAUGAAUGUGAACCCGUAUAUAUAUGUGUGAUAAGGCCGAAUGGCCAAUGUGAUGAAUGUGAACAUGCGUAUGUGUGAUAAGGCCGAAUGGCCACUGUGAUGGAUGUGAACAUGCGUAUGUGUGAUAAGGCCGAAUGGCCAAUGUGAUGAAUGUGAACCCGUAUAUAUAUGUGUGAUAAGGCCGAAUGGCCAAUGUGAUGAAUGUGAACAUGCGUAUGUGUGAUAAGGCCGAAUGGCCAAUGUGAUGAAUGUGAACAUGCGUAUGUGUGAUAAGGCCAAAUGGCCAAUGUGAUGAAUGUGAACAUGCGUAUAUGAGAUAAGGCCGAAUGGCCAAUGUGAUGAAUGUGAACAUGAAUAUAUGUGGUAAGGCCGAAUGGCUAAUGCGAAAUGUGUAUGAGAUGGAUAUGUGGUAAAGCCAAAUAGCUAAUGUGAGAUAUGUACGAGAUGUGUAUAUAUAUAUUGUGGCCAAAUGACAAACGGUGAAAGGUGUGUAUUAUUAGAUUUUUGGAUGAGGCAAAUGAAUUACAAAUAUGACAGUCGAUGUGAAUGUUGUAACAUGUGAUUAAAUGUACAUGAAACUUGGAAAUAUAUUCCGGGUAAGACCCGAUGACUACGUGUGGAGAUUAUGUCCGGGUAAGACCCGAUGACUACGUGUGGAGAUUAAGACCCGAUGACUACGUGUGGAGAUUAUGUCCGGGUAAGACCCGAUGACUACGUGUGGAGAUUAUGUCCGGGUAAGACCCGAUAACUUCAUGUGGAGAUUUCGUCUGAGCUAAAGGUCUCGCCGAUAAUCCGAGUAGAGGUUAGAGCUAUAAGACUUCGUAAUAAGAAUUGCAUAUAAAUAUAUUCAAUGCGAAAGGUUAAACAGGUAUGUACUCCAAGUUUAUAUGUGAGCUUGAUUUGAACUAAAUCAUAAGGUAGUUAUGUGAUGCAUAUGAGAGCAAUCUAUGAGACUAUUCCUAUGAUUAUGUGACUUCGGAUCAGUGUGAGAGGAUAUGUGAAAUCAUACAAUAUAUCUAUGUCACAUGAGCUCACUUUUAUGUGAGAGUUUAUCUGCCUAUUGUAUAUGAUGAGAUGUGCAUAUUCGGUAAAGGGAUGGUAUGCCCGAAGGAAGAGUGAAAUAAAAAAUAUGAACAACUAUGUUAUAAUUUGAUUGUUAUCUGUUGUCACUGCUUAAAACUUACUAAGCAUUGUAAUGCUUACUCCGUUUACUUUGUUUUCUCUAUUUUAUAGAUCUCAUUGCGAAGCUACAGGCUCGGGGAUUGUCAGCAACUAGUCACACUAUCACUAUCCACUGCUUGUUACUGUUAUGUUUAGAAUUAUUUUAUGGCAUGUAUAGAAUAGACUAGUGGCGGAAGAAUAUUUUUGGUUAAUGUAUAUAAGCCAUGCGAAAAUGACAUCUUUUGAAUGUUUACUUAGAGAAGUUUAAAUUUUAUCCCUGGCUGUGCUUAGUACUUAUCUAAAGGAAUGUUCAAAAAAAUUUUUUUUUACUGUUCUGACAUGAGUUACAAGUCCGGUAAUGCCCCUUACCUAUUCCAGCGACGGUUAUGAGAUAGGGGUGUUACAGAAGCGGUGAGAAAAGAGGUCCAAAAGCUAUUUGAUGCCGGGAUGAUCUAUAAUAGCCCAAAAUUGGGUGUAGUUCGAACAGAGGUUUCGGGAAGAUAGAAAUAAUUAUUUUAUGAUUAUUUUGAGGUCUAUGAUAUGAUUGCAUGAUUGUGUAAAAAUUUCGUGAAGAAAUUCUAUGCAUAAAGUGCUCAAUUUGAAGUUAGGGACUAAAUUGAAUAAGUUGCAAAACUUGUAUUCUAGAAGUUUCUAGUAUGAAAUUGCUUUGAAAUAUUAAUUAUGAGGUUUUAAAUAGAAAUUUUACCAAUUUCUAAGUGAUGGACAAAAAUUAGACAUAGAUGGAAUUUUUGAAAGUUUGUAAGGAAGGGCAUUUUGGUCAUUUGGUAAUUAAAAGAAAUAAAAAGGGAAAAUAAAGCCAAAAUUGACUCAUCUUUCUCAUGGAGGCCGAAAUUAGCAUGGAGGAAGCCAUGGCUAGGGUUUUCAAGAUUUCCAAGCUCAAUAGUAAGUCCGUUAUAACCCCGUUUUUCAAGUUCUUUACGUUUUUGGAAUCCCGGUAAUUUGAUUAAGCUUAUUCUAGCAAUAAUUUAAGCUAGGGUUCAUAUUUGGAAAAAUACCCAUAGGUGAAAUGUGUUUAUUUUGCUGUUUUAUAAUAGAAUAUAAGGUUUUAAAAUGUUAGAUAAAUUGUGCUACUCGGUUUUGAGUGAAAACGAGCAAAAGGGCUUAAUCGGUAAAAAUACCCAAUAGUCAUAAGUAUAUGUUAGAGUGAGAAUUUGAUGUUGCCAUAGAAGGGAAAAGUGACCAGCAUACCAUAAAACAUAAAAAUAAGGGAUGAAGUUUAAUUUCGAGUGUAACACCCCGUACCCGAGUCCGUCGUCGGAGUCGGACACGAGGGGUUUGCAGACUUAAAUCUCUUCUUUGCACAAUCCAUUUUAAAUUUUCCAUGCAAGCUGGCUAACUGCGUCACUGUCACCUUAAAAAUCAUAUCUUGAGCUUCACAACUUGAAAAUCAGCUUCGUGAUUUUUCCCUGAAACUAGACUCGUAUAUGCAUCUACAAAUUUUUUUCUAAAAUUUUUGGUUGGGCCAAUUAGUACAGUUUAUUAGUCAAAGUCUCCCAUGUUACAGGGAUCGACUACACUGACCUUUGCGCAUUACGACUUGGAUAUCUCCCUGUACAGGGCUUCAAUACUAAUGUCGUUUGUUUCUAUAUAAACUAUACUCAAAAAAGAAUCUAUGCAUAUAUGGCAUGACUUCUAAUUAUCUCUGGUUAAUUUAUAAUGAAUUUCCAAAGUCAGAACAGGGAAUCAAUAAACUGUUCUGGCCCUAUCUCACGAGAACCUGAAUAUCUCUUAACAUACUAUCCAUAUGAUCGUUUCGUUACUUUUCUAUGAAAAUAUAUUCAUCAAGGUUAAUUUACAUAAUUUAUUCACUAUUUAAUUCAAUUUCUAAUAUUUUUAGUGAUUUUUCACAUCCACAUCACUGCUGCUGCCAGCAUCUAUUUUUUUAAGGUAAACUUUACCUAUUUCAUGAUCCUCCAUGGAUCAACUAGAGUUUGUCAUACAUAUUCCAAAAGUGAUCAAGAAUAACCCUUCCCAUGGCUAACCGUUACCAACAUUUCCAUACCUCUCGACGGACAACAUACAAAACGAUUAUAAUGCUAUGAUCAAAGUAUAUUUAAGCCAUUUUCGCAUGGCUAUCCAAAUUUACACAAAACCGAAGGGUACAUGACCAACAACAAAAGGGUAGUCCUAUACAUGCCAUUUCAAAGUUCAACCAAAAUUGUACCAAAAGGGGGCUUUGAUAGUGUGGGAGACUUCGACUUCCAAAAAUCCCGAGUCCGAUAGCUGACGAGCCAAAAUCUAUAAAACAGAGAAACAAAGAAACGGAGUAAGCAAUUUAAGCUUAGUAAGUUUUGAGCAAGGGAUUCCAGCACAACAAAAGUAUAGCAUUCAUAUAGCUAAACGGAUAAUUUCAUAUGCACAAAUUUUCAAUAUCAUACUUACUUCACAUUACCAACCCUUAUGUUCAUACACAAAAGAUCAACUUAGCCAAAGGCCGGUAGCUCAUUUAUCGACUGAGCGAAUACAGAUUUGUAAGGGAUCAACUAAUUCAAAGCACACACGAAACAUACCUCAUCGCUGGGAUUUUACGAGCGUAUUAAUUUAAAUUUUUACAGCAAGAUCGCUUGUUCCCAAAUCAAGCAUCUUCGGGGUUUAGCCGGAUAUAACCACUCGCACAAGGCCUUCGGGUCUUAACCCGGAUAUGGUCACUAGCAUAAAUGCCUUCGGGACUUAGCCCAGGUGUAGUCGCUAGCACAAAUGCCUUCGGAUCUUAGUCCGGAUGUAGUCGCUUAGCACAAAAGCCUUCGGGACUUAGCCCGGAUAUCAUUCGAGUAACCAUGCACAUAUAUCAAUAAAUCAUGACACAUUCAUAUUUCAUUUUCAUUACCAAAGCUCAAACACAAGACACUUAUCACAUUUACAAUUUCGGCUCAAUAGCCACAUAUAAGAGCAUGAUUUUGAUUUACUUAAGACAUAAUCUAAUCGAAUCAUAAUUUAAGUCCCAUUACUCGAAAACUUACCUCGGAUGUUGUCGAACGAUUCCGAUGGCUAUUCGACCACUUUUUCUUUCCCUUUAUCGGAUUUAGUUCCCCUUUGCUCUUGAGCUUAAUUUAACAAAUAAAUUGAUUUAAUCAUUUGAGCAUCGAAAAGAGGAACUCAAGGUACUUGGCCCACAUAUAUUCAUUAGACAUUAAAGUCACAUAUGUACGGAAUCAUGAAUCAAAUUCAACACAUUAGUUAAUACUCUCCUUAGCCGAAUUUUCUAAGUCAAGAUAAAGCCUUCAAUAUGCUUACCUAUGGCCGAACAACACAUCAACCUAUGUACUCAUUCAUGUGGCCGAUUAUGCAUGUCUAUGUUGAGGCCAAUUAUAUACUCAAUACCACACACAAAUGGCAUACCUUUUACUAACUAGUGCAUUACAUAUUAUAACUCAAUACGCAUCUAUCAUGUACUCCAUAACCGAAACACCAUCAUAUGUAAAUAUAUACCUUGAGAUAUUGUAUAUGUCAUACCAAUACGUCAUGUGCAAACAUAUAUAUAUAUGUGCAAGAGCCGAAUCUCAAAGUUGAUUAUAACUAAACAUGAACAUAAAUCCAAAACACAAAUCUUACCUACCAUGCAAUAAGCAUAAAUCAUACUUAUGGAUAUACCAUGGCCGAAUACAUCACAACACCAUACCAUUUCAAUUUUGGUCAUGGUUAAACAAAGAACUUAAUGUCUCACUCAAAAAUGCUAAAAAGAAAAUCCAAGAGUCAUCAAUCCACCAUCACAUGUAUCAUUAACAAGCUUCAUAUUUAGCAUGCAAUGGCAUUAACACAAAAUCCACCUAGGCCGAAUAUCAUCCCCAUGACAUAGCAAAGAUUUGAACCAUGGGCUAAUUAGAACUCAAGCUAGCAACUAAAAACAUGCAUGAGUCUCAUGGCACAACCUCAAACAUACCUUAAUCUAGAUACAAGUAUGGCCAAACCUCCUCCUAAUCCUCUUCCAAACCAAACAUGAAGCAAGAACUCCUUCCUCCUUCCUUAGAAUUUUCGGCCAAAAGAAAUGAAAAAGGAUGAACAAUUUUUUUUUUCUUUAACUCACGGCAAUGGGGGGGGGGGAGGGAACACUCACACACAUUCUUUCUUUUUUUUUUUCCAUUUCUUUAUUACCCAUACUCCUUAUUUUAUUUUUCCUAACAUACCUCACUAACAUAACAUGUUUGUGACAUGUUUCCACUCAUAGCUUGGCCGGCCACUACUAAUUAGGGGGGAAAUUUGACAUGCAAGUCCUCCCUUUUUAUUACAUGCACUAUUAGAUCCUUAUAGAUUAGCCUAUCACAUUUCAAAAGUGUCACACAAAUCCUACUAACUGAAUUCACAUGCAAUCGACUAAAUCGAAGCUUGAAAUUUUCACACAUUCAUAAUUACAUAUUCUAGACAAUAAAUAUCACAUUCAAACAUUUCAGUGACUCGGUUUAGCGAUCCCGAAACCACUUCCCGACUAGGGUCAAUUUUGGGCUGUCACAUCGAGCCUAGGAGAAAAAGUGUAAAUAUGCAAAAGUUUAGGGGCAAAAUUGUAAUUUUUCCAAAGUUUGAGUUAUGGACUGUUUUGAAUAGUAAAUUAAUUAAAUAAGUAAAAUAUGAUGUUUUAGAUCCCGAAAAACGAGAUUUGAACCUAGAAUGAGAGAAAAAUCGAAAAUUGGGAAAGUUGGUAAAAUGGCCGUUUUAGUAUCGAGGUAAGUUCAUAUGUAUAAUAAGCAUUAAUUUAUGCAUGUUUGAAUGUAAAAUUGAUAUAUUCAUUAUGAUUUCCGAGGUGUUGAAAGUAUGUAAGUUGGUAUGAUAAUAAUACAGCAAUAAUGCUGUAAUUUAUAUUUGAAAGUUAAAUUUAGUGAAUUAAUUGAAUUAUAUUAAAUUAAAUGAUUAUGGUGCCAAGUUUAUGAAUUGAUUUAAAAAUAUGUAUAUGGUACAUGAAGUGCAUUGAAUUAUCAUACAUAAAUGUUGUCAUAACCAUUUUUUUGAAAAAAAACGGGUAUCGACUUGGAUUUUGAUAAUGAAAAUGAAUAGAGGAGUAGCCACCGAUCCUUUUUGACGAGGUGUGAUCGGGUCACCUCGUAAAAGUGGUUGUUUUUAAUAAAUAGUUUGAUUUAUUUAAACAAUAAUUUUAGUCUACGCAAAUCAAGGAAACAGGGUCGGGAGUCGGUUACACACGAGGAAGGAUUAGCACCCUCGAUACGCCCAAAAUUGGUACCUAGUUGAUUAAUUAGUGUCUUAGUGUCGAAGAUUGAAAACUUGGAAGACCUUUGAAAUACGAUCCCUCUUUGUAAAGAAAAUGCUUAAAUAUUAAAGACCUUCUCAUUUCAAAAUAUGAAAUGUCACAUCUAGUGAGUUAGGACACAACAUCUUGAAUUUUCGAGAGCGAGCUUGCCUUUUAUAAAAUCUGUGUAUUUUAUUAAAAGGGUAUUCGAUUAUUUAGAGUAAACGAGAGAAAUCGUAACCCAGUAAGUUAGGGCACGUUUUCUCGAAUUCUCAAACACUGAAUAUUGCCUUUAUUUCAAAACAAAUUCUUAUUUCGAGAUGACAAAAUGUCAUACUCGGUAAGUUAGGGCACAACACUUCGCAUCUUCGAGAGUAAGCAUUUUUCAAAACUCGUAUAGUGAUUUAAAAAGAAUAUACUCUGUUAUUUAGGUUAAAUGAGAAAAGUCGAAACCUAGUAAGUUAGGGUACGAUUAUCUCGAAUUACCUAAUACGAGAUAUUACUUUUAUGAAAGAAUCAUUUUUAACAUAUUAAGUAAAAACAUGAUUUAUAGUAAAAUAUAAAGAAAAUUAGGGUAUUAAUAUGUACAAUAACAUAAUGAUAGGUGUGAUGGUGUCAAAAAAACAAUAACGUGAGCAGUUAUAAAUGAUGAAUAAAUAGAAAUGUUAGUAACAUGUAAAUAUAAACAAAUGCAUGAGGAAAAUAAAAAGAUUGAAUACAUGAGUAAAUAAAUGAAAAUGAAUAAAACACGGCAAAAAAUAAAAAUGGCGAUGAUAACGUAGACGAUAAUAAUAGUGAUAACAUAAAUAAUAAUAAUAUAAAACGAUGCGCAGAUAUAUACAUGGAUGCAUUGAGAUAUAUACGUAAUAAUAGCAAUAAAAUAUAUACGUAGUAUUAAAAAAGGAAAAUAUACAUAAUAUACAUAUAUAUAUAUAUAUAUAAAAUAUAUAUAUGAGAUAUAAAAAUGUAUAUACAUGGUAAAACAUAAUGUGAUAUUUACAAUAUAUAAAACUAUAAUAAAAUGAUAUACACGAUAUAAUAUUAAUUUACAUAGGCAUAAUAUGAAGUAUAAUAUAUAAAUAUAUAUUAAAAGUAUGUAUAUAUGACACAAAUGUAUUAACAAAACAAUAAUAUCAAAACUAAUAAUAACAAUAAUAUAUAAAUGUAUACGUAUAUAUAUUAAAGAUAUAUAAUAAAUAUUAAUAAUAUAGAGGUAAAAAUAGAUAUAACAAAAUGUACAUAAUAGAAUAUUUGAAUAUGUAUACAUAAAACAUAUAUUAGGAACAAUAAUAAUAUAUAAAACAACUAUAAGAAUAUAUAUAAUAUGUAUAUAUAUAGUAUUAAUUUAAAAGGGGCUAAAUAAUAAUAAAAUAUGCUAAAAAUAAUAAUACAAGAAUGGUACAAUAGAAUAAUGAAUAAUAUUAAAAUAAAAAAUAAUAUAGAAAGUGUAUUAAAUAGGAGAAAUGGACUAAAUUUGAAACAAAUAUUAAGUUUUAGGGCCGAUUUAAAAAACUAAUAAAGAGAAGGGACUAAUUUGAAAGCGCAAAUAACAUACGAGGUCCAAAAGGGCAAUUUACCCGAGCCCUUGAAAAGGUGCCGCUGAAGGGAGGACCAACGUGCAAAAUGCGAUAAACCUCGGGGCUAAUUUAAAAGAAUUGAAAACUUGAUUGCAAAACAUAUAAAAAGCGGAAGGACCGGGCAUGCAAUUAGCCCCUAAGAGCAAAAACACGCGGAUCCCAGGGUAAGACGGGUCGGGUCUUCGGGUCGCGCCUAAACGGCGCCGUUUCUGGGUUUUAAAAGGGCCGGGCAAAACGGCGCGUUUUGCCGGCCUAUAUAAACUAAUUUUUUUUAAUUUCAUUUCCCUUCUCCCUUUUUAAAAAGGUCUUCUAAUCCUCUCUUUUCUCUCUGCAGGUACCCUGGGUCCGGCCAGCAUUCGUCACCGUCCGUCGCGCCUUCCGCUGGCGGUGCUGUCGCCGGCCACCACUUUCAAAAAGGUGUAUUGUUUUAUUUUAUUUUUUAUUUUCCUCUUUAUUUUAAUAAUAUAUAUAUGCACAAUCAUGUAAUCAGGAAAUAAAGUAAAAGAGGAAAGAAAGAAACCAAUUCAAAACUUAGAAAAUUUCAAGACCUUUCGAUAUUCUGAUUUUGAUUUCUUCCUUGGGCUUUGUUUUAUUUCUUGCGAUUUGUUGAUGUUUUCUAAUCUCUGUUUUGGUAUUGAGUCUUCUUUUUUUGAUAUAUGUGGUUGAAAUCUAAGAGAUUUUAUUGUAAAAAUCUGCUAACCUCCUUUACAAAAUCAUCUAUUCGACAUUUAUAAAGCCUUAACAAUCUCUCUGCUUUCUACACUAUUCUCACAUUUAAUGGUUGCAGGUGCAGAGGCGGUGGAGCAGAGGCCAAUUUCUGACGACGUGACUGGGGGCAGUGGCAUAGGUGAUUUAGGCUAGGGUUUAUUUUUUUUAAUUUUGGUUUUGAUUUCGGGCUGAUGUUAGGCAUUGGGCCCAUUUGGGGUUUGGGUAGGUUUAAUGUUUUGGGUAAAUUGGGUUAGGGGUUUUGGGUAAAUUGGGUUAGGGGUUUUGCGCCCAAAAUUAGGCUUGUACAACUGCCCUCUUUGCUUGUUGUCGUGUAAUGAGAACAGGGCAAAGACUUAAGAAAGACCAAUUUUGCCUGAUCUCGCCAUGUCUGGACUUGUUUAGCGCUCCUUUUCUCCAGGUAUCUUUAAUGUGCUCCAUUGAAACUUCAGAUAAGAUCUGUUUGUUUAGCUUCACUCCGUUCCACUUUAUCUUCAGGGAAUUAAGAUUUCCUAUCUUCAGUCUGCUCCUCUACAACUUUAGGAAGAUAAGACCUGUGACUUUAACUAACUCUACUGAAACUUCAAGGAGAUCUGUUGUGGCUUGGGUUACCUCCACUGCUGCUUCAGGGAGAAGACAUUUGAUUUUCAACCUGUUACCCUACUGCUUAGGGGUUUAAGGCUUGUUAUCAUCGAUCUGUGAAUUCAACUUGUUACCCUACUGCUUAGGGUUUAAGGUCUGUAAGUUUGGCUUACUACCCUACUGCUUAGGGUUUAAGGUCUGUAAGUUUGGCUUACUACCCUAUUGCUUAGGGGGUUGAGCCCAUCAUCUUUGAUCUGUUUCCCUACUGCUUAGGGGGUUAAGAUCUGUAAAUUCAACCUGCUUCACUGUAACUUUAGGGGGACAAAAUCUGUAAUUUUCAGCCUAUUACCCUACUGCUUAGGGGGUUAAGGUCUGCAAAUUUGGCUUGUUACCCUACUGCUUAGGGGGUUAAAACCCUUUGAAUUCAACCUGUUACCCAACUGCUUAGGGGUUUAAGGUCUGUACAUUUAGUCUGUUCCAUUGCGACUUCAAGGAGAUGAGACUUGUAACUUCAGUCUGCUUCGCUGAGACUUCAGGAAGACAGGAUUCGUUGGAUUUGAUCUGUUCCACUGCAACUUCAGGGAGACGAGAUCUGUAAUUUUCAGCCUAUUACCCUACUACUUAGGGGGUUAAGGCCUGCAAAUUUGGCUUGUUACCCUACUGCUUAGGGGGUUAAAGCUCAUCAUAUUCGAUCUAUUUUCCUACUGCUUAGGGGGUUAAGAUCUGCGAAUUCAACCUAUUACCCUACUGCUUAGGGGGUUAAGGUCUGGUGAAUUCACUGAUUCUAGGAACAUGACCUGUAGAAUUAGUUCCAUGUAUUUAUGCUUAUGCCAAAAAAUUAGGAUGCUAUGAUCAAAAUGAAUCAAAUGCUCCUAAUUAGAUGCAUUAUGAAUGAUCUAUGAAUGUAUGGGUGCAACAUGUUGUGAGCGUGAAUCCUUUUUAAUGUUUAGAUUGCCAUUGCUCUUUGUUCAUCAAAUUUCUUUCACUGAAAUGGUACCCUGUUUUCUUGUUCAGCUCAAAUUUUGAACAGAAAACCCGAAGAGGUAGUCCCAGUUUAAACUCUUUCUUCUCAUAUGCUCCCAAUCUUUGAGUUUGGUUAGUUCUAAAUAAUAGUCCUGUUUUAGGUUCCUAUACUAUUUAGAAACCUUCAGAGCAAUAUGCAGAACUCUUUUUGCGAAAAUGGCUUUAGUCCAUUAAUCAUCAUUUCAAUACAAAAUGCUUGAAAAAGAUUAUAACAAUGACAGGACUGAAAUUUGUCAGAAACAAAAUUUGAAGGGAAUAGAACCAUGGGCAACAAAUAUUGCUCGAAUACAAAAUGAGUAGAAAGAGAAUAGAUGCCCCAGAUAUCGUAGCGUGAGCUUCUUUGUACUAACUUCUUGGGGACUCCCUUUUUGCACAAUAUGUAUUUAGGGGAUCUAGAGUACCCUUGUAGAUGCCUCAAGAUGUAACAUCUCCCCUCCUUGUUAAUUUAGGUAUCGUGAGACCAUUGCAUGCCCCACUUUCGAUCAAAAUUUGAAUCGCCCUUUAUGGGUUUUCAAUUCAAAAAAUCUCUUUGGUCUCAAGGUGCUCUUUGCGAGUUUUCACCCUGGCCUCUCCUUCUUCUUUCUUUCUUUUUUUUUAGGCGAAGUAUUUCUUAACUGAAUCUGAAUUCACAGGAUUGGGUAAAGUCUUGCCAUCCAUUUCGGCCAAUAUCAAUGCUCCGCCAGAAAAGGCUUUCUUCACCACAUAAGGUCCUUCCCAAUUCGGCAUCAAUUUUCCUCCAAAGUCCUUUUGUACGGGCAGGAUCUUUUUCAAUACUAGGUCUCCCUCGUGGAAUUCUCUAGGACGAACCUUUUUGUUGUAAGCUCGUAUCAUUCGAUUUUGGUACAUCUGACCAUGGCGAAUAGCCCUUAGCCUCUUUUCUUCAAUCAAAUUCAACUGAUCGUAUCGAGACUGGAUCCAUUCUGCUUCAUCCAACUUUACCUUUGACAAAACUCAGAGGGAAGGAAUCUCGACCUCGAUAGGUAAAACUGCCUCCAUUCCAUAAACUAAUGAGAAAGGCGUUGCCCCGGUAGAAGUUCUGAUAGACGUUCGAUAAGCAUAGAGGGCGAAUGGUAGCUUUUCAUGGCAGUCUUUAUAAGUCUCAGUCAUUUUCCCCACAAUCUUCUUGAUGUUCUUAUUGGUUGCUUCGACUGUACCGUUCAUCUUCGGGCGAUACGGUGAUGAGUUGUGGUGUUUGAUCUUGAACUGACUGUAGCCAGCCGCUAUCGUGCUAUUGUUCAAAUUCAAUGCGUUGUCAGAAUUGAUCCUUUCCGGCAUUCCAUAUCGACAGAUGAUUUCCUUUUUCAGGAACUUGCUAACUGCUGAUUUAGUGACAUUGGCAUAUGAAGCGGCCUUCACCCAUUUGGUGAAAUAAUCGAUGACAACAAAGAUGAAUCGGUGCCCAUUUGAAGCUUUUGGUGAAAUUGGCCCAAUCACAUCCAUGCCCCACAUCGAGAAAGGCCAUGGCGAAGUCAUGACAUGCAGAGGUGAGGGAGGUACAUUAAUCUUGUCUCCAUAGAUUUGGCACUUAUGACAUCUUUUGGCGUAGUUAAUACAGUCUCCUUCCAUGAUGGAGCAAUAAUAAUCGAACCUCAUAAUUUGCCUGGCCAUUGUAAAACCAUUAGCGUGUGUCCCACAGACGCCCUCAUGGACUUCUUCUAAGAUUUUUUUAGCCUCAAUAGCAUCUACACAUCUCAACAGUACCUGAUCCUUCCUUCUUUUGUAUAGGAUCUCCCCGUCUAAGACAUAGUCAUGGGCCAGUCUUCUUAACGUUCUUUUGUCAUUCUUAGUAGCUUGAUCGGGGUAUUCACGAUUCUUCACAUAUCGCAGGAUAUCGUGGUACCAAGGGUGAUCAUCAUUUUCUUCUUCUUCUUCGAGGUUGUAACAAUGAGCCGGGGCCUCGUAAAUGCUCAUUUGGAUUGGUUUUACAUCCUCUGGUUGGUUUACAUUGAUCAUAGAAGCUAAAGUUGCUAGGGUGUCAGCCAUCUGAUUUUCUUCUCGUGGAAGGUAGCAGAAGACAAUAUCAUCAAACUCUUUAAUUAACUCAAGGAUCAACCUCCGGUAAUUGAUCAAUUUGGGGUCUCUUGUCUCCCAUUCAUCUUUGAGUUGAUAAAUCACUAGGGCAGAAUCUCCAUGUACCUCUAACACUUUGAUUUUACAUUCUAUGUCUACGUGUAUUCCCAUGAUACAUGCUUCGUAUUCUGCCAUAUUGUUCGUGCAGUCAAAAUCUAAUUUACUAGUGAAGGGAUAAUGAUCUCCGUUCGGGGACACCAGAACUGCCCCGAUCCUGUUACCCACAGCAUUUGAUGCCCCGUCAAAGUUUAGCUUCCAAGGAUGACCUUCUUGAGGGUCUUCUUAAGUGGUUGCUAUGUACAUUAGAUCUUCAUUUAGGAAGUCCAAGUUCAGAGGCUCGUAGUCCUCUAGGGCUCUGCUGGCUAGGAAAUCUGCUAUCGCACUCCCUUUUACGGCCUUCUAGUUCACAGAGAUUAUAUCGAACUCGGAAAGUAGAAUUUGCCAUCGAGCCAUUCUCCCAUUCAAAGCGGUCGACUCAUCAAGUAUUUCAGAGGUUCCAUUUUAGAGAUCAUCCAAGUUGUAUGGUACAAAAUGUAUUGUCUCAGUCUUCGGGUUGUCCAGAUUAAGGCACAGCACAACUUUUCAAUGAACGAGUAUCUCGUCUCACACUCAGUAAACUUUUUAAUGAGGUAAUAUAUUACUUUUUCUUUCCUUCCUGAUUUAUCGUGUUGGCCAAGCACGCAUCUCAUAGAAUUUUCAAAUACCGUCAAAUACAGUAUCAGUGGCUUAUCUGGACUAGGUGGUGUCAACACUGGGGCAUUAGAAAAAUAUUGCUUAACUUUGUCGAAAGUCUUCUGGCAUUCCUCGUCCCAACCACCAGGGUUGUGUUUCUUAAGGAGACAGAAUAUAGGGUCACAUUUCUCGGUUAGUUAUGAAAUAAACUGAGCGAUGUAAUUUAGUCUUCCUAGGAAUCCCCGAACUUUCUUCUGAGUACGUGGUGGAGGUAACUCUUGUAUGGAUUUGACUUUAUCUGGGUCAAUCUCAAUCCCUUUUUCACUUACCACGAAUCCUAGCAGUUUUCCUGACCUGGCUUCGAAGGUACAAAUUCUCUACCCCAGUUCCUUCUUCAUAUGUGGCGUUGAUGUCCAAACUCUCCAUCAUUCUUUCCAUGAUUUCCUUUCCCGACAUCUUCCGCUCGGAGUGAAUGACCCCUCCAGACACAAAAGUCUUCGAUAUAUGGGGGAAGAUCAUUGGUUCCCAUUCGAUUUCUCCCCUGUUCAAUCGCGCUCUCCUUCUUUCUCGCUUCUUUUCAAGUUCCUUCUUUCUUUGUUUCAUGUCCGGCUUAAACCCUAACCCAAAACGGUAUUGUUUGUCCUUCAUCAUUGGUAUAUUAAUCCUUCCCUGGAGGUAUCUCCUGAGUUCUCUUUCGGGUAGAGCCUCUUUUCCAAUAGUUAGCUGUAGUCCAAUUUUUGUAGUCUCAGAUAACCUGGGUAUUGGAAUCUUAUUUCCUUCGGUGAUGAACAUCGCGUUCACAAACUCCAAAGGUCGAAAAGAGCACUCGAUUGCUUCAUCAUUUGCCUCCAGAUAUGGGGUGUCACUGGUUAUUGUCGCGAUGAUGUCCUCUUCAGCAUUGAUCGUUACUAACCAACCUUCAGUCACUAAUUUCAACUUUUGGUGCAGCGAUGAAGGGACUGCCCCUGCCGAGUGUAUCCAUGGCCUCCCGAAUAGGCAAUUAUACGAAGGCUUAAUGUCCAUGACCAGGAAAUCUACCUCGUAUGUGCUCGGCCCGAUUAAGAGGGGUACUUCAAUUCUCCCCAUUACCUUCCUUUCGGUGCCAUCAAAUGCUCUCACUACAUUUUGGCAUGUCUUCAUAUGGGAACUAUCCACUGGCAACCUACUCAGCGUAGAUAGGGGUAGGACAUUCAGUGCAGAUCCAUUGUCAAUCAAUACCCCCGGUAAUGUGUACCCUUUACAGCGAGUUGUGAUGUGCAAAGCUUUAGUCGAUCCUCGGCCCCCUGGUGGUACCUCAUCGUCAUUAAAGAAUAUGAAAUUGUCGACACUUAUACUGUUGACUAAGUGGUCCAAUUUGUUUAUAGAGAUAUCGUUAGCAACAUAAGUUUCAUUCAGCAUCUUCAUCAACGUGUUACGAUGGGUUUCGGAGCUUAAGAGUAAGGCCAGUACCGAUAUACGAGCUGGCUGUUUGUGCAACUAUUCUACGACACUAUAUUCGCUGUGCUUUAGAAAUUUUAAGAAUUCCUUGGCUUCUUUUUCAGUAACUGAUUCAUUAACAGUUGCUUCAGGCCCCACCAGCUUCUCUUUCUUUUGCUCGAUUGCUAAUGAUUUUUCUUUAACCUGCUCGACUUUUGUAUUUGGGGUAUAACGCCUUCCACUGCGCGUAUAAAAACCUUCGUCUUGAACUUCCUCUGAUGCAUUAAUAGGGGUCUCCUCUCCCGGGAAUGUCACAUUGCAGCUAUAGUUCCACGGUACCCUUUUGCUAUCCUUGUAAGAGAAAGCAACGGGCUUCUGGAUUACGACCUUUGGAGCAAUUUGUGCCCCGAAUUCAUUCAUUCUCGGACGUGAUAUGAUAACCACUGGGUGGUUGACCUUGUAAGCAUCCUUCAUCGACCCCUCUUCGGAGGCACACACAUCUGUUUCUUCUGGGCUCCCUACAUAUUCGAAGAAUCCCAGCUCCUUAUUAUCGAUCAAUCCUUGUAACAAAGCCCUGAAUUCCCUGCACUUUUGAAUCUCAUGAUCCUCCUGAUCAUGGAACUUGCAAUAAUUCUCUACUUCUUGAGGUCUGACCCUUGAAUUCUGUGCUAUCAACCCUCUUUCCACCAUUUUCUUCCAUACUUCUUUCAAUAGGGUAUUCACUUCUUCCAUAUUCAUCUUAAUUUCUUUCCCCGAACUCUCGAUUAUCGCCUUUAUUCCCUUAUCCCCAUGGUUAGGUAAUGGAUUCUCUGCACUGAAUGUAUCGUCAAAUUUCACUAUCCCCAUGUUGAUGUGUCUUUCAACCAAUUUCUUGAAAGUGGUGCAGUUUUCUAUUGAGUGUCCUGUGGCUCCCGCAUGGUAUUCGCAUUGGGCAUUUGCGUCAUACCAUUUGGGAUAUGGAGGUUGCAUUGGCUUUAGAUAAAAGGGAGACACGACGCGUGCAUCAAAUAAACUCUGGUAUAACUCCUUUUAUGUCAUUAGAAUGGGCGUAAAUUUAAGUUUCUCCCUAUUUUGUUUUGUGUUGGGCUCUUGUUUGGGUGGGCCUUGCUGUCCAGUAGUUGUCGACCUUGGUUGGCUUACGAUGAUCGAUUUCGAAUAUGAGCUCACAUUAUUCACCUCGUGCUCUUUCUUUCUCGGUGCUAACCUCUUAGCGUUUUCCCCAGCCUCUAUUUUCCCACAUCUUAUGGCAUUUUCUAUCAUUUCUCGAGAUAUUACUAUGUCUGAAAAACUCUUGGUUGUGCUACCCAGCAUGUGGUUAAUAAAAGGUGCCUUCAGGGUAUUGAUAAAGAGUAUAGUGGUUUCCUUUUCCAACAGAGGGGGUUAGACUUGUGUGGCCACCUCUCUCCAUCGCUGGGCGUACUGCCUAAAGCUCUCAUUAUGCUUUUUCUCCAUAUUCUGUAAAGUGAUUCUAUCAGGGGCUAUGUCUGCCACCUGACCGUACUACUUCAUGAAGGCUUGUGCUAAAUCUUUCCAUGAACUGAUCUGGGCGCGACUCAGUUGGUUGUACCAUCUAGAAGUGGCCCCAACCAAGCUUUCUUGGAAGCAGUGGAUUAAUAGUUGGUCAUUAUUGACAUGGCCUGCCAUUCGUCUGCAGAACAUAGUGAUGUGAGCUUCGAGACAACUAGUCCCGUUGUAUUUCUCAAAUUUUAGUGUUUUGAACUUGGGAGGGAGUACCAGGUCCGAAACAAAACUUAAUUCCUUAGCGUCGAUUCCACCAUGAUAGUCGGUGUUUUCUAUUUCUUUAAAUUUUUCUUCCAACCAUCUACACCUUUCUUCAAGCUCUCUCGGGAGUUCUACCCUUGUCUUUUCUGCUUCUAUUACUUCAUCGAGAUUGAGGACCACAGGGUUGGUCGAGUUAUCCCUCGGAUUAGAGCCCGAACCGGCCUGAUAAUUCAUCGAUGUCGAAACACCGGCCUGAAAUGGUUGGGGCCUAAUUGUGACCGAUGGCCUUCUUGGGUACAUAUCAGGUUGUGUCUGAACGUCCGCUGGGGCAAAACCCGGAGGGUAGGUAAGAUCUUCAUUAUUUUUUCUCGCAUUGAUCAAGGGCUUUUCCUUUAUUCUAAUCUGCCAGCCAAUAGACGAGUUAAUUGGUCCAUCAUGCUUUUCUGGGACUCCAACAUAUGGUCCCUCAUAUCUUGCUAGAUUUUGGCAAGCUGUUCUUGCAUACGUGCUUGUAAUUGAUCCUGCAUCUCUUUUUGCAUUUGUUCCAAUCUCUCUAACCUUUGAUCCAUUACUCUUGUUUUUCCUCUUGUAUCGUAACGAUGUUCUAGGGUAACUGCCAUGAUUUUUUUUGUGAGUUUUAGUGAGUGUGAUACAAUGCUGAUGCAUGAAUGCAAUGAAUGCAAUGAAUGCAAAAAAGCGUUGAUUCCAAGUCGAUUUCAUUAGAGUAACUUUCUAGAAAACAAGUUUCUUUACAUAAAAUAGAUUACAUAUAAGGCUUGGCCCUGAUACUUAAGGCCUUGACCUGUCUAAGAAGCCAAGCCAGCUCUCAGCCUCAGUCCGAUUCUGACUCGUAUUUUAAACUCAGCACAUCGGCUUGUACUGCUAAUGUUUGCAAGUGAUCAGCCACUUCUCGCACUUGAGUCAAAGCUUCGCCCAUAACGUAGUCCCUGCUCCUGACUUGGUCUUGAGAUUGAUGAAGAUGCUCCUUCCAUCGCUCGUUAUUUACUUCAAGGAGUUCAAUAUGAAGUUCAUGAUUUUGCAGUGCUGUUUUGAGUUCUUCUAUAUUCUAUUUUAAUUCUUCAAUUCUUCUCUGACUAGCUUUAAACUCGAUUACAGAGUUACGCAAGCUAUAUUGAUACAAUGACUUCUCUAACUCUGAUACCCGGAUUUUUAACCCUUCUUUCUCAUUCUGGCUUUCUACCAAAUUUCUUUUCAGAGCGCCUUCUCGAGCUUGAGCAUCGCGGAAUUUUUCUUCCCACUGGUUGGCUUUGCUUUGUUCUUUUUUAACUUCAUGUUGCCACUAUUCGGAUGUUUUUCCUAACCCAGCGAUUCUCAUUGAUCUGCGCAGCUUCUUAUAGUCCGUCUUCAAACUGCCCAAGUCCUCUUCAGCCUUGUUUUUCCCUUUUCUGAGUUUUUCAUCUUCUAGUUUCUGGACAUCGACAUCUAACCCUAACUGCAUCUUUUCUUCUUCCAACUGCUCGAUCCUUUUUUCUAGCUCCAGACUCUUUUUCUCGAAAUCUUGCUUGAUGAUUUCUAGCUCAGAUGGGAUUACUCUCAAGUGUUCUUCUAUCCAUUGAGGAUUCCCUUGAUCUGAUGUAGGGAUGUUGUCAUUAAUCCUCUGAUUCCACCAUCGAUCGUACUCAGGAGUAGUCAUGGGGUUGGCAGCAAACUUCUUCAUUCUAUGAGUCUGGUUCCAGGCAUUUGAUAUCUCGCAAACUUUGUUUUUAUAAUUAUUCCCUGUGAACACGAACUCGCACUGGGCUAACCCGUAUGUUGGUGGUGUAAACUGUCUGGGUCUGUACUGUCUUAAUGCAAGCAGAGGAGCAUAUCUGACGGCUCCCCAUACUCCUAACAAGGGAACCCAAUCAAAAUAUCUGUAUCGGUAUAAUAUUUCAUCAGGAACCAUCCACGGGGCUCUCCAUUCAACAUCUUCUUCUUGCAAAUUUUAGAGAACCGUCAUCCAAUUGUCUUCUGUAACAUCAUCUCGCCUUGGUGUAGCCACUAAUUCUUUCAGCGGAGAGUAAUUUUUAGAGACGAUACGAUACGAGACCUUUUCCACUUUCCAGAAAUGGCUGUGGAACCAGGAUAGCAAGAGGUGCGCACAUCUAAUAAAUCUCCCUUCACCCGCUCUUCUACAAGCAUUUAAUGAUCUGAAAGUUUCAGCCAAGAUUACGGGUACAGGUGUAGUUCAUUUACCAAGCCUGUCAAAAAGGUCGGAAACAGCCUCGUCUACAUGUCUCAAAGCUUUGGGGAAGAUGACCAGUCCAUAAAUGCUCAAGGCGAAGACAUCUACCCUUUUCUUCACGUCGUGGUGCGCUAAGAUUAGAUCCCUCAGGUUCCUCCAAGGAAUGCAUUUACAAUCUCCUUUUUUUUUAUCCGGGUUGUCACCCACUGUUCGCUCAUCCCUGUGAUGUUCAUCAGCUUUUUUGAAAAUGCUGGGACGUUAGCAGGUUUGGAAUAAAUUCUGUCAACCUGAAUCUUUGGGCAAUGGAGCAAGGUCGUGUAUUCUUCUAUAGUAGGUACCAAAUCUACUUUCCCGAAAGUGAAGCAACUAUAAGCAGAAUUCCAAUAUUGGGCAAGGGCUCGAAAUAGGUGUUCAUCUACCUUGACAUCGAGCAGAUGAGGUAAAUCACCGUAAUGACAAUAGAAUAGCUGUUUGACCUCGUCAUCCCACUGACCCCAAAUUUCUUUCAUCUCUUGGAGAUUAUUCUGAGUUACGCUGAUCCGAGUAAAAUUCCAUAACUCUGACACAUGCCCCUCGGUAAGACUGUCACCUUUAUCUUGUUGUGUUGUCUCAGCCCAUAUCCGGACAGCCGCGUUGUCUUCUACUUUAUCAAAAAACCCUUUUUCCAUAAUAAGCUAUCUAUUUAGGAAUCGAAUGCGAAUCAACACCUUUUAUAAUGAAAAUGCCAUGCAAAUACAAUCAAAGUAAAACAAAGCAAGUCAGUAAUUUAUACACAGUUCAAAGCAAACAAAUAAUAAUAAAUAUAGCACUUGCUCAGGUGACCACUAGGGUUUCGGAGUGGCUCUACCUAGGGCGGGUUCUUAAGGCUCGCUACAUAGGGUUUGGUUCUAGAGUAAGGGUACCUGAACCAACAGAUUCCUCGAUCUUCACCCAUUAUAGCUCAUAUAGACCGAGUUUAGUUUAGGGGAAUAUAUUUCCCUAUGGCUGCACGGAGAUGAAAAUCUCACGAAGACAUAGGUACGGAUGUAUCCCGAAAGCGAUCCACUAUCCUGUACGGAGGUGAAAAGCUCACGAAGGAGUAGUUUCUCUCUCUCACUUAAAGGGGUGUGACCACAGCAGUCAUGCAAUGCAAUAUGCAAGACUAUUCAAAGACUCAAAUCAACGCAGCAGGUAUUAUAUCAUAAACCACAAAAAAUAGCUGAUGAAAUGCAAUGAAACGAUCGUAUUUCAAAACCGAAUUUUCAAUUUUCGAUAAAAAGACAAAAGUUAAUCAACUUGCGGCUUGACUCUCUUAUUUGAUUCCCCAGUGGAGUUGCCAAGUUGUCAUAACCAUUUUUUUUGAAAAAAACGGGUAUCGACUUGGAUUUUCAUAAUGAAAAUGAAUAGAGGAGUCGCCACUGAUCCCUUUUGACGAGGUGUGAUCGGCUCACCUCGUAAAAGUGGUUGUUUUUAAUAAAUAGUUUGAUUUAUUUAAACAAUAAUUUUAGUUUACGCAAAUCAAGGAAACAGGUUCGGGAGUCGGUUACGCACGAGGAAGGAUUAGCACCCUCGAUACGCCCAAAAUUGGUACCUAGUUGAUUAAUUAGUGUCUUAGUGUCGAAGAUUGAAAACUUGGAAGACCUUUGAAGUACGAUCCCUCUUUGUAAAGAAAUUGCUUAAAUAUUAAAGGCCUUCUCAUUUCAAAAUAUGAAAUGUCACAUCCAGUGAGUUAGGACACAACAUCUUGAAUUUUCGAGAGCAAGCUUGCCUUUUAUAAAAUCUGUGUAUUUUAUUAAAAGGGUAUUCGAUUGUUUAGAGUAAACGAGAGAAAUCAAAACCCAGUAAGUUAGGGCACGUUUUCUCGAAUUCUCAAACACUGAAUAUUGCCUUUAUUUCAAAACAAAUUCUUAUUUCGAGAUGACAAAAUGUCAUACUCGGUAAGUUAGGGCACAACACUUCGCAUCUUCGAGAAUAAGCAUUUUUCAAAACUCGUAUAGUGAUUUAAAAAGAAUAUAUUCCAUUAUUUAGGUUAAAUGAGAAAAGUCGAAACCUAGUAAGGUAGGGUACGAUUAUCUUGAAUUACCUAAUACGAGAUAUUACUUUUAUGAAAGAAUCCUUUUUAACAUAUUAAGUAAAAACGUGAUUUAUUGUAAAAUAUAAAGCAAAUUAGGGUAUUAAUAUAUAUAAUAACAUAAUGAUAGGUGUGAUGGUGUCAAAAAAAAAACAAUAACGUGAGUAGUUAUAAAUGAUGAAUAAAUAGAAAUGUUAGUAACAUGUAAAUAUAAACAAAUGCAUGAGGAAAAUAAAACGAUUGAAUACAUGAGUAAAUAAAUGAAAAUGAAUAAAACAUGGCAAAAAUAAAAAUGGCGAUGAUAACGUAGACGAUAAUAAUAGUGAUAACAUAAAUAAUAAUAAUAUAAAACGAUGCGCAGAUAUAUACAUGGACGCAUUGAGAUAUAUACGUAAUAAUAGAAAUAAAAUAUAUACGUAGUAUUAAAAAAGGAAAAUAUACAUAAUAUACAUAUAUAUAUAAAAUAUAUAUAUGAGAUAUAAAAAUGUAUAUACAUGGUAAAACAUAAUGUGAUAUUUACAAUAUAUAAAACUAUAAUAAAAUGAUAUACACGAUAUAAUAUUAAUUUACAUAGGCAUAAUAUGAAGUAUAAUAUAUAAAUAUAUAUUAAAAGUAUGUAUAUAUGACACAAAUGUAUUAACAAAACAAUAAUAUCAAAACUAAUAAUAACAAUAAUAUAUAAAUGUAUACGUAUAUAUAUUAAAGAUAUAUAAUAAAUAUUAAUAAUAUAGAGGUAAAAAUAGAUAUAACAAAAUGUACAUAAUAGAAUAUUUGAAUAUGUAUACAUAAAACAUAUAUUAGGAACAAUAAUAAUAUAUAAAACAACUAUAAGAAUAUAUAUAAUAUGUAUAUAUAUAUAGUAUUAAUUUAAAAGGGGCUAAAUAAUAAUAAAAUAUGCUAAAAAUAAUAAUACAAGAAUGGUACAAUAGAAUAAUGAAUAAUAUUAAAAUAAAAAAUAAUAUAGAAAGUGUAUUAAAUAGGAGAAAGGGACUAAAUUUGAAACAAAUAUUAAGUUUUGGGGCUGAUUUAAAAAACUAAUAAAGAGAAGGGACUAAUUUGAAAGCGCAAAUAACAUACGAGGUCCAAAAGGGCAAUUUACCCGAGCCCUUGAAACGGUGUCGCUGAAGGGAGGACCAACGUGCAAAAUGCGAUAAACCUCGGGGCUAAUUUAAAAGAAUUGAAAACUUGAUUGCAAAACAUAUAAAAAGCGGAAGGACCGGGCAUGCAAUUAGCCCCUAAGACCAAAAACACGUGGAUCCUAGGGUAAGACGGGUCGGGUCUUCGGGUCGCGCCUAAACGGUGCCGUUUCUGGGUUUUAAAAGGGCCGGGAAAAAUGGCGCGUUUUGCCGGCCUAUAUAAACUAAUUUUUUUUAAUUUCAUUUCCCUUCUCCCUUUUUUAAAAAGGUCUUCUAAUCCUCUCUUUUCUCUCUGCAGGUACCCUGGGUCCGGCCAGCAUUCGUCACCGUCCGUCGCGCCUUCCGCUGGCGGUGCCGUCGCCGGCCACCGCUUUCAAAAAGGUGUAUUGUUUUAUUUUAUUUUUUAUUUUCCUCUUUAUUUUAAUAAUAUAUAUAUGCACAAUCAUGUAAUCAGGAAAUAAAGUAAAAGAGGAAAGAAAGAAACCGAUUCAAAACUUAGAAAAUUUAAACACCUUUCGAUCUUCUGAUUUUGAUUUCUUCCUUGGGCUUUGUUUUAUUUCUUGCGAUUUGUUGAUGUUUUCUAAUCUCUGUUUUGGUAUUGAGUCUUCUUUUUUUGAUAUAGGUGGUUGAAAUCUAAGAGAUUUUAUUGUAAAAAUCUGCUAACCUCCUUUACAAAAUCAUCCAUUCGGCUUUUAUAAAGCCUUUACAAUCUCUCUACUUUCUACACUAUUCUCACAUUUAAUGAUUGUAGGUGCAGAGGCGGUGGAGCAGAGGCCACUAGUUGAUAAAGUUUGCAAGAGCUGUCCUUUAAUGAUUCGGGGUCACUGUUUUCCGGCUGAUUUAAUGAUUUUACCUUUUUAUGAGUUCAAUGUAAUUCUUGGAAUGGAUUGGUUUACUCUACAUCUGUCGUAGUGAAUCGUAGACGAAAGAUUAUUGAAUUGAAAUGUCAAAAUAAUGAUAUUCUUUGGAUUGAACCGGAUGAGUCGGUGAGUUGCCUAUUGUGAUUUCAUCGAUGUCGGAUCAAAUGUAUGUAAGAAAAGGUUGUGAAGCUUAUCUUGUAUAUGUGCUGAAUACGAAAGUGUCCGAAUUAAAAAUCGAUUCGGUAUCGGUAGUUUGUGAAUACCUGGAUGUGUUCCCAGAAGAAUUGCCUGGAUUACCACCGAUCAGAGAGGUUGAGUUUACUACUGAUUUGGUACCGGGGAAUUCACCGAUAUCGAUAGCUUCGUAGAGGAUGGAUCCGACCGAAUUGAAAGAAUUGAAAUCUUAGUUGCAAGAGCUGACAGAUAAAGGUUUUGUAAGACCAAGUUUUUCGCCCUAGGGUGCACCGGUGUUAUUCGUCAAGAAGAAAGACGGAUCCAUGAGACUUUGUAUAGAUUAUCAUCAGCUUAACAAAUUAAGAUAAAGAACAAGUAUCCUUUACCAAGAAAUGAUGAUUUUGUUUGAUCAGUUGAAAGGGGCAACAGUGUUCUCGAAGAUAGACUUGAGAUCAGGCUAUUAUUAGUUGAGAGUUAAAGAGUCAGAUGUGCCGAGGACCGCGUUCAGAAUAAGGUACGGGCAUUAUGAAUUUCUUGUUAUGCCUUUUGGAUUAACUAAUGCUUUUGCAGUUUUUAUGGACUUGAUGAAUCGAAUUUUUCGACCGCAUUUAGAUAAAUUUUUGGUUGUUUUUAUUGAUGACAUUUUGAUUUAUUCCGGAGAUGAGUCUGAGCAUUUUGAACGUUUAAGAAUCGUAUUACAGACUUUGAGAGAUAAGAAAUUAUUUGCUAAAUUCAGUAAAAGUGAGUUUUGGCUACGAGAAGUCGAAUUUCUAGGACAGAUUGUUUCGGCAGAAGGUAUACAGGUUGAUCCGAGUAAGAUUACGAUGGUUGUUGAUUGGAAACCACCGAGAAAUGUAUCCGAAUUCAGAAGCUUUCUGGUUUUGGUUGGAUAUUAUCGAUGUUUUGUUAAGGGAUUUUCGAUGAUUGCUACACCUAUGACCAGAUUGUUACGAAAAGAUGUGAAAUUUGAGUGGUUUGAAAAAUGUCAACAGAGUUUUGAACAGUUGAAAGCGUUGUUAUUUGAGGCACCGGUGUUAGUGCAACCUGAGUUGGAAAAGAGGUUGUGAUUUUCAAUGACGUAUCAUUGAACGGUCUUGGAUGUGUGUUGAUGCAAGAGGGUAAAUGUCACGCCCCACGCACGAGCCCUAUGCUGGGAUGGGAUACGAGGCGUUACCACAUUUUAUCACAUGCAUACAAUCAUAUCGAUGUCAUUAAGACUCGAUGAAAUUUAAAACUUUUUUUUUUAAAUUUGUUUAAACUCCUUAUUAUAGGCCUACAAGGCCCCAAACAUCCAUUUGAAACCAUUCGGGACCAACCCGUGUAACACCCCGUACCCGAGCCCGUUGCCGGAGUCGAACACGAGGUGCUAACAGACAUAAUACAUUUAUUUCCACAGUCCAUUUAAAAAUUUCCAGACAAACGGGUUACAGCGUCACUGUCGCCUUAAAAAAAAUCAUAUCUUGAGUUUCAAAACUCGAAAACUAGUUUCGUAAUUUUUUCCUGAAACUAGACUCAUAUAUCAAUCUACAAAUUUUUUUCUAGAAUUUUUGGUCGAGCCAAUCAGUACAGUUUAUUAGUUAAAGUCUCCCCUAUAUCAGGGUUUGACUACUCUGACCUUCACACAUUACGACUUGGAUAUCUCCCUGUACAGGGCUUCAAUACUGAUUCUGUUUGUUUCUAUAGAAACUAGACUCGAAAAGGAAUCUAUAAAUAUAUGGCAUGACUUCCAGUUAUUUCUGGUUAAUUUGUAAUGAAUUUCCAAAGUCGAAACAGGGAAUCCAGAAACCAUUCUGGCCCUGUUUCACGAAAACUUAAAUAUCUCUUAACAUACGACUCAUAUGAUCGUUUCGUUUCUUCCAUAUGAAAAUAGAUUCAUCAAGGUUCGAUUACAUAAUUUAUUCACUAUUUAAUUCCAUUCCUACUAUUUUUAGUGAUUUUUCAAAUCCACAGCACUAUUGCUGUCAGCAUCUGUUUUUAAGGUAAACUUUACAAAUUUCAUGGUUUUCCAUGAAUCAACUAGAGGUUGUCAUACAUAGCACCAAAAUGAUCAUGAUUAACCAUUCCAAUGGCUAAUCGUUACCAAACAUUUCCAUACCUCUCAACGAACAACAUACAAAACGAUUAUAAUGUUAUGAUCAAAGUAUAUUUAAGCCAUUUUCGCAUGGCUAUCCAAAUUUAUACAAAACCUAAGGGUACAUGACCAACAUCAAAAAGGGUAGUCCUAUACAUGCCAUUACAAAGUUCAACCAAAAGUGUACCAAAAGGGGCUUUGAUAGUGGGCAACUUCGACUUCAAUAAUCCCGAGUCCGAUAGCUGACGAACUAAAAUCUAUAAAAAACAGAGAUUCAAAGAAGCGGAGUAAGCAUUUAAUGCUUAGUAAGUUUUGAGCCAUAAAAUUAGACACAACUAAAAUGUAGCAUUCAUAAGGCUAAACGGAUAAUUUCAUAUGCACAAAUUCUCAAUAUCAUACUUACUUCACAUUACCAACCCUUAUAUUCACACACAAAAGAUCAACUUAGCCAAAGGCCGGAAGUUCAUUAAUCGAUUGAGCGAAUACUACUUAAAAGGAAUCAAUUAAUCCAAUGCAUGUACAAAACAUACCUCAUUGUUGGGAUUUUACGAGCGUAUUAAUUGAAAUUAUUACAGCAAGAUCGCUCAUUCCCAACCCAAGUAUCUUCGGGAUUUAUCAGGAUAUAACCACUCGCACAAGGCCUUUGGGUCUUAGCCCAGAUAUGGUCACUAGCAUAAAUGCCUUCGGGACUUAGCCCGGAUAUAGUCGCUACCACAAAUGCCUUCGGGUUUUGGCCCGGAUAUAGUAACUCGCACAAAUGCCUUCGGAUCUUAGUCCGGAUAUAGUCACUUAGCACAAAAGCCUUCGGGACUUAGCCCGGAUAUCAUUCGAAUAACCAUGCACAUAUAUCAAUAAAUCAUGACACAUCCAUAUUUCAUUUUCAUUACCAAAGCUCAAACACAAGACACUUAUCACGCUUACAAAUUUUGGCUUAAUAGCCACAUACAAAGAGCAUGAUUUUGAUUUGCUUAUGACAUAAUCUAAUCGAAUCAUAAUCCAAGUUCCAUUACUCGAAAACUUACCUCGGAGGUGGUCGAACAAUUUCGGCGGCUAUUCGAUCACUUUUUCCUUUCCCUUAUCCAACUGUGGUCCUCUAAGCUCUUGAGCUAAUCCAAACAAAUUUAACUUAUUAAAGUCUCAUUAUGCUUGCUUACAGCCGAAUAUGACAAGGAGUUUGAUAGGUCAUAUGGCCACCUUUAGCUCAAAUACAAAAUUGUCAUAGGCAUUUUUAAUCACAUUGAGCAAUUUAGUACAAUUAAUCAAACAUUUCCUCAUGUGCACCUUUAUGACCAAAUACACACAUCAUUAACCUAAUAUCAAUUAACUAAGCACUUAAAAAAUUCUCCUUGAGCCGAUUGUCUAAGUCAAGAUAGGAUCAUCAUUAUACUUACCUAUAGCCGAAUGUACAACAUCAAUCUAUGCAUUCAUUCGUGUGGCCGAACAUGCAUGUCUAUGUUGAGGCCGAUUGCAUACUUAAUACAUUCUACAAGUAUGGUCACUUGUAUUGACCAAAUACCAUUUUGUUCCAAGUUCAAAACUUGACUAAUACACAUAUAUGCACUAUUAAAACAUCCUCUCCAUUCCUUCAAUUUAACACAUGCAUUACUCAUUAAUAUACAAAGCCUCGUAAGGUACCAUCUUAAUACUUGACUAAAAACUAUUGUUGUAAGCGAAUUCCAUCAAAGGUAAAUACCGUUCCCAUGAACCACUAAACUCGAGGAUGCAACAUCUCAACAUAUCCUCAAGUAUCUGAAUUAUCCGCUCGGAUUGACCAUCGGUUUGUGGAUGAAAAGCGGUGCUAAAAUGCAGCUUGGUACCCAAAGCUUCUUGCAAUUUCUUCCAAAAUCGCGAGGUGAAUCUCGGAUCUCUAUCCGACACAAUAGAAAUCAGUACCCCGUGUAAUCUCACAAUCUGAGAAACAUACAAUUCAGCUAGUUUAUCCAAUGAAAAAUCCACACGUACGGGGAUAAAGUGAGCUGACUUAGUCAGUCUAUCAACAACAACCCAAAUCGCAUCCUUCUUACUUGCCGACACUGGCAACCCAGAUACAAAAUCCAUCGUGACUCGAUCCCAUUUCCAUUCAGGUAUCGUGAUCGGCUGAAGUAAACCCGUAGGCACUUGAUGUUCCGCCUUCACUUGCGGACAUACUAAGCACUUCGAAACAAAAUCGGAAAUGUCACGUUUCAUACCAUGCCACCAAAACUGACGUUUCAGAUCGUUGUACAUUUUCGUACUCCCCGGGUGAAUUGACAUUCGGCUACAAUGAGCUUCGUUCAGAAUCAUCGAAAUGAGUUCUGAAUUUCUUGGAACACACAAACGACUUCUGAACCUCAAACAAUCGUCAUCAUCAAUUUGAAAUUCUGAUUCCAUAUUCGGAAUACAUUCAGCCCGUUUUGCAACCAAAUCAUCAUCGACUUUCUGAGCUUCGCGAAUUUCAUGAAUCAACAAUGGUUUGGCCUUUAAUUCUGCCACUAACACCUUGUCGGAUAGAACGGACAAUUGUACAUUCAUCGUUCGUAAAGCAAACAGUGAUUUACGACUUAAGGCAUCCGCAACCACAUUAGCCUUUCCCGGGUGCUAGUCAAUGACAAGCUCAUAAUCUUUCAACAACUCGAGCCAACGUCUUUGUCGCAGAUUUAAGUCUCUUUGAGACAUCAAAUAUUUGAGACUUUUGUGAUCCGAAUACACAUGGGACUUCUCGCCAAAUAAAUAAUGUCGCCAUAUUUUCAAAGCAAAUACGAUGGCAGCUAGUUCGAGAUCAUGGGUCGGAUAAUUUUUCUCAUGUAGCUUUAAUUGUCUCGACGCAUAGGCCACAACUCGACCUUCUUGUAUCAAUACGUAACCCAACCCAAGUAGGGAGGCAUCACUAUAAAUGACAAACUCUUUGCCUGAUUCGGGCUGCACUAGAAUUGGAGCUUCAGUCAAAUAAGUUUUCAGUUGAUCAAAACUUUUCUGACAUUUUUCCGUCAAUUCGAACUUAACAUCUUUUUGAAGUAGCUUCGUCAUUGGUGUGGCUAUCAUCGAGAAACCUUUUACAAACCGUCGGUAGUAACUGGCAAGUCCCAAAAAGUUCCGAACCUCAGUAAUAUUUCUCGGAGGCUUCCAGUUAAGUAUGGCUGAAAUUUUGCUCGGGUCAACUCGAAUACCCGAUGCGGAUACCACAUGACCCAAGAAGCUAACCUCUCUUAACCAGAACUCACACUUACUGAACUUAGCAUAUAACUGCUUAUCCCGUAAAAUUUGCAACACUAAUCUCAGGUGCUCAGCAUGUUCAGUCUCAUCUCUUGAAUAGACCAAGAUGUCAUCAAUAAACACAACUACGAACCGUUCCAAAUACUGUCUAAAGAUCCGAUUCAUCAAAUCCAUAAAUACCGCAGGGGCAUUAGUGAGCCCAAACGGCAUCACUAAAAACUCAUAGUGGCCGUAUCUCGUUCUGAAAGCAGUUUUGGGUAUAUCCGAAUCUCGAAUUCGCAACUGGUAAUAACCCGAUCUCAAAUCUAUUUUUGAAAACACCGAGGCUCCCUUUAGUUGAUCAAACAAAUCAUCAAUACGCGGUAACGAAUAUUUAUUCUUUAUCGUUACUUUAUUCAGCUGACGAUAGUCAAUGCACAACCUCAUGGUUCCGUCCUUCUUUUUCACAAACAAUACUGGUGCACCCCAAGGUGAGAAACUUGGUCGAGCGAAACCUCUAUCCGUCAACUCUUGCAACUGAGCUUUCAACUCUUUUAACUCGGUUGGUGCCAUACGAUACGAAGCUAUCGAAAUCGGCGUAGUCCCAGGUACAAGCUCAAUACCAAACUCUUCCUCCCGAACAGGUGGUAAACCCGAUAAUUCCUCGGGAAAAACAUCCGGGUAUUCACAAACCACCGGCACAGAUUCGGGUUUCCUUUCUAACUCUUUGUCAUCAAGUACAUACACAAGGUAUGCUUCAUUAUGCUUAUUGAGCUAAUCCAAACAAAUUUAACUUAUUAAAGUCUCAUUAUGCUUGCUUACGGCCGAAUAUGACAAGGAGUUUGAUAGGUCAUAUGGCCACCUUUAGCUCAAAUACAAAAUGGUCAUAGGCAUUUUUAAUCACAUUGAGCAAUUUACUAAAAUUAAUCAAACAUUUCCUCAUGUGCACCUUUAUGACCAAAUACACACAUCAUUAACCUAAUAUCAAUUAACUAAGCACUUAACAAAUUCUCCUUGAGCCGAUUGUCUAAGUCAAGAUAGGAUCAUCAUUAUGCUUACCUAUAGCCGAAUGUACAACAUCAAUCUAUGCAUUCAUUCGUGUGGCCGAACAUGCAUGUCUAUGUUGAGGCCGAUUGCAUACUUAAUACAUUCUACAAGUAUGGUCACUUGUAUUGACCAAAUACCAUUUUGUUCCAAGUUCAAAACUUGGCUAAUACACAUAUAUGCACUAUUAAAACAUCCUCUCCAUUCCAUCAAUUCAACACAUGCAUUACUCAUUAAUAUACAAAAUUAUAUUCGGCCUUAGCACACCUCUUGCUGGCCGAAUUUUUUCUGCAUCUAGCAACAUUUUAUGUACUAUGCCGAACCAAAAAAAUCAAACACCUAGCUUAAUCAUUUCCAAAACACUUAACCGGCCUUUGACCAAGACUUUAAACAAAGUCUAUGUUCGGCUAUCACACAUAUGGGCAUUAUUAGUUCAAAGUUUUAACAAGAUUAAUUUCUUUGAUCUUAACCUAAAUGACAACCCCCAUUGUUCAUCUAGAUUUAGCAUGAAACAAACACCAACCAAGAAAACAACACCCAUGGCCAAGUAUCAUCUUCAUCACAUAGCAAGAUUUAAACCAUGGGCUAGGUAGAACUCAAACUAACAUCAAAAAUAUGCAUGAAUCUCAUGGAACAACAUCAAACUUACCUUAACCUAGCUACAAGCAUGGCCGAAUCUCUUCAACAUUUCCUCCUUUCUUUCCUUUUGAAUUUCGGUCAAGAAGAAUGAAAAAGGAUGAACAUUUUUUUUCUUUGUUUUCCAUCAUUUUCCUUUUUCCAUUUCUUUAUUACUAGCUUUUUAUUUUAUUGUUUCCUACAUACCACAUUAGCACACCAUGCUUAAAAUAUGCUAUGCCCCAUAGCAUGGCCGGCCACUAGCUCAAAUAUUGGGCAAUUUGACAUGCAAACCCUCCAUUUCUAUAACAUGCAUUAAUAGGCCACUUUACAUUUGCCUAGCACAUUUCUAAAUUUUCUCACAUAAGUCCUAUUUACUAAAAUUCACCUACAAUUAAACAAAAUUCAAAUAUAAAAUUUUCACACAUGCAUAUAUACAUAUAAUAAGCAUCAAAUAUGACAGCUAAUUAUUUUUAUGACUCGGUUUUGUGGCCCCAAAACCACUUCCCGACUAGGGUCACAUUAGGGCUGUCACAACCCAGGUCCUUUAACUAACUUUAGAAAAAUAACUCUUGAAACAGGGUACAUGCUCGUGUGGAAGGGCAACACGGCCGUGUGGUCAUUAUAACAUGGCCGUGCUAAUGGCCCGUGUGACACACACGGCCUAAGUACCUAGGGACACACCCGUUUCCCAUGCCCGUGUGAAUUAAAUUCUAAAUUUGAACCUACAGGGGUUUUCAUAUGGCCUAACACGCGCCCUUGUCUAUGGCCCGUGUCUAAAAAUCUUGACAUUCUAUUUCUGACGUUAGCAUCCCAUUUAGGGCACACGGCUUAGGCACACGCUUGUGGCCAGAGGCCCUGUCCUCCACACGGAUGAGACACACGGCUGUGUCUCUGCCUGUGUGAUUACUACCAUGCAUACUGACUUGUAAAUUUUACAUGUAUGGGGCAGACGGCCGGAUAACAUGCCCAUGGGACUGACUGUGUGUCACACAUGGCCUAGACACAUGCCCAUGUGCCUACCUAUGUGGACAAUAGAAGGCUAUCUACCAAGCCUUUGCCACAUUGAAACACAAUCUAGCACCCACCCACAUAUGAAAAUCUAACUUAAUACGAUUUCUCAACCAAACAACCAUAGCUAAGGCCUACAUACAUUUCAUAAAUUCAACCAUGCCAACAAUUUCACAUUCAUGAAAGACUAGCUUGCCUAAGUCAUUCCACACCAAUUUUGUUUUCCAGCAUUAUUGACUUAUUGCCAUAUCACACUUUUAUUCUCUGAUUAUGACCACUUCGUUUGGUCAUAAGACAUUCAUCAAGCAUAUAUACUAUAACACUAACCAUUCAUAUCAAACAAAUAUAUAAUCACAUGACCACAUCACAAGGCAUCAAUACAUAGCUUGGAUAAAUAGGCUUACAAGCCAUCACCCAUAUAAGCCACGUCUCAUGGGUAAACACAACGGAUCAAUUUAAGCCAACAUCUUGACUAAAUUAGAGGAAUACACAUCGUAAUAACUAAGUCGCUAUACAUUCCACUCAUUCAAAUACACCUAAGGUUUCUCAAUACCACAACGGUAAUAGCUUGAUAGUGUGGUGUUGCCUCUGAUGAUCUCCAACCCCGAGCCGACCUGACAACACUAAAGAAAUAAAAAGGAGGGAGUAAACUUUACGCUUAGUAAGUUCAUAUGAAAAUAAUAAGCAAUAUGCCAACAUGCUUCUCAAGGUAAUACAACUAUAAUUACACAUUUACUUAUUUUCUAGUCAUGCUCUUUUUCUCGAGUCAUAGUUACUAAUUUAUUUAUAUCUGGAGCUAUGAAACUCCAAAUUAAGAUCCGCUAAUUUUCCCUGAAACUAGACUAACAUAUCUUCUUACCAUAAAAUUUUUAGAAUUUUUAGUCUAGCCAAUAAGUACAAUUUAUUCUUUAAAGUUAUCCCUUUUCACUGUCUGACAGUUCCGACCCCUCUUCACUAAAAAUUAAUUAUCUCAUAAUAUGGGACUCGGAUGAUGUUCUCGUCUAUUUAUCAUGAAAUAGAUUACAGGACUCAGAUGAUGUUCCCUUCUAGUUAUCAUGAAAAUAGACUCAUUAAGAUUUAAUUUCAUAUUUUAUUCAGCCUCAAAUUCGAUUUCCACAAUUUUUGGUGAAUUUUCAAAGUUGGACUACAGUUAAUGUCCAAAACAUUUUCAGUACUAAAAUGAUGAUAACUAAGUUCAUCACACCUUCAUUUCUUUUAAAUUAGAAUUCUGUGCAUUUAUAAACAUAUAUCUUAGUCUACAAAAUUAACACAACAUCAUUUCACAAUACUCAUGGACUUACCAUUCGUGGAUUUCAUAUUCAAUUGAGUUUUUGUACAUACCUGUACUCAUUCGUAACAUAACUCAAGUUCGUUCUCACCAAUGACAUACCUCAUUGGGACCAUCAUCAAAUCCUUUCUUGAAUUACCCAUUGAACACUAGGAACACUAAUGGAUACACGGAAACUUGCACAUAGCGCCAUAUAGGUAGCUAGAACCAACUUUUAGCUCGUAACAUAUGUAGCUAAAGCUACCACAUAUUUUGUAAUGCCCGCAUUUGAGCUACUCACGGGUCUGUACACAAAGUCAGCACCUGGAACCUAAAGCAUUAACAUGACAUGCUCACUUAGUGAGCUACUCAUGGGCCUAAUCACAUAGUCAGCACCCGGACCAACAUUAUAUAUAUCACUUAUAUCAUGAACUCAGACAUAACUCAUGAGUCUGAAUAUAAUUCCUCAUGAUAUAUCCCGUGUAUCCUAUACUAUUCCCGAGGUCAAACGGGGUUUCUUGUCUAACUCAAUGUCAUCACACUUGCUCAUAAUGUCAUUUAUUCUUCCAUCAUACAUUUCAUACUUUCAUGAUAGUAAUAAAACAUUUAAAUGUACAUAUUAUCAAAGCAUUAAAAUAUGCGACAACAUCACAUUAUUUCCUUAUGUACUUACUUGUCGAAUCUUCAUCAAGAAUAUCCGUAUAAUCAAUCAUACAAUUUAUAUAAUAAUAACAAUAAAUCAUUUAAUAUUCCAUUAUAACAUUGCAUUAUUAUUAUCACACGAACUUACCUUGAAUGAAAAUUUCGGCCAAUUAUUCCAUUUUAGUCUAUAACCUCGUACUUUUCGAUUUAAGCUCGAAUCUCAAUUUUCUUGAUCUAUAAUGAUAAAAUCCACUAUUUUUAUCAUCAUAUUAACCAAUACAUUUCAUAAUUUAUACUUUGGCAAAAUGACCAUUUUGCCCCUAGACUUUUACGAAUUUACAAUUUUACCCCUAGGCUCGUAAAUCUAUUUUUAUUGAAUUUCCUCACUACCCAAGCCUAGCCAAAUUCUUUUUAUACUAGGAUCAUCCCACAAUUCUCAUUAUUACUCAUACUUAUCACUCAUUUUGCCAUCUUUACAAAAUGGUCCAUUUUAGGUGUUUUUAUGAAAAUCUUUUCACAAAAGUUGUUUAUUACACAACCAUGACUCAUUUUAUUCCAUAAAAUUAAGAAAAAAACAUAAAGAUUCACAUGGAAAAACUCUAGACUUUCAACCAUUUUGCAAAAUAAUCCCCCCAUUAGCUAGCUCAUGCUACAAAGGUCUCAAAAACACAAAAAUCAACAAAAAAGACCAUCAAAAUGACUUACUAGUAAGGGUUGCAAGUGGCUAAAAAUUUCAAGCUUCCAUGGAGGUUUCUCCUUCAAUAUUUCGCUAGCGAAAGGAAACAGAGAAGAUAAAUGACCACUUUUAUUUAUUUAUUAGUAUUUGCUUUUGUCAUCAAAUACCAAACCAUUACCAACUUUCUCUAUUUUGUCAAAUCUUGUACCCUAUGGCCGGCCACCACUAAUUUAGAGGCCUAUUUGCACAUUAAAGAGCCCCAAUGAUGGUUCUCUAGCUAUUUAAUACAUUUGGCUAGCAAAAUAGGACUUUUGCACUUUAUGCAAUUUAGUCCUUUUUCAUAAGUAAGCUCACAAUUGUUAAAAUUAAUUAACCAAAAUUUUCAUGCACUUGUAUAAUCAUGCUAUGACACAUAAGAUAAUAUUAAAAAUAAUUUCUCCAGCCUCAGAAUAGUGGUUCUGAAACCACUGUCCUGACUAGACCCAAAAUCAGGUUGUUAUAGUAAAGUGAUAGCUUAUGCCUCGAGACAGUUGAAACUGCACGAGAAGAAUUAUCUGACACACGACUUGGAAUUGGGUACUAUUCUAUUUUCUCUAAAAAUUUGGAGACAUUAUUUAUUUGGUGAGAAGUGUUGCAUUUUUACUGAUCACAAGAGUUUAAAGUAUUUGAUGACUCAGAAAGAUUUGAAUUUGUGACAAUGAAGAUGGCUCGAGCUAUUGAAAGAUUAUGAGUUAGUGAUCGAGUAUCACCUAGGGAAAGCGAAUGUAGUCACAGACGCCUUAAGUAGAAAGACUUUGUUUGCUUUGUGAGCAAUGAAGAAUACGAGGUUAACUUUAUUUGAUGAUGGAUCGAUUCUGGCCGAGUUGAAAGGUAGACCGGUAUUUCUUCAGCAAAUUUUCGAAGCUCAGAAAGGUGAUAAUGAGUUGCAAGAUAAAAGAGUUCAGUGCUAAUCGAAUAAUGAUUCAAAAUAUCAGAUUGGAUCUAAUGAUUGUUUGAGGUUUUGAGGUAAGAUUUUUGUACUGAGAGAUACUGAGCUGAUUUAGAAAAUUUUUCAUGAGGCACAUAAUGGUUUUCUAUCUAUUCAUCUUGGGAGUACCAAGAUGUAUAAUGAUUUGAAGGAAUUGUAUUGGUGGUUAGGCAUGAAACAAGACAUUUCAGCGAGAUGUUUGAUUUGUCAAAAAGUGAAAGCCGAACAUCAAGUGCCUUUGAGUUUACUUCAACCUAUGACUAUACCCGAGUGGAAAUAGGAUAGAGUUACGAUGAAUUUUGUAACGGAGUUACCUCUAACUCCGAAGAAGAAAUAUCCUGUAUGGGUCGCUGUUGAUAGAUUGAUGAAAUUGACUCAUUUUAUUCGGGUACGUACUAAUGUUCACUUGAUAAACUAGCUGAAUUGUACAUUGUUGAGAUUGUUAGAUUACACAAGGUGCCUACUUGUAUUAUUUCGGAUAGAGAUUCGAGGUUUACAUCGUGAUUGUAGAAGAAAUUACAAGAAGCGUUGGGUACAAAGUUGAAUUUUAGUACUACGUUUCAUUCACAAACCGACCAUCAAUUUGAGAGAGUGAUUCAAAUUCUCGAAGAUAUGCUUCGCUGUUGUGUUUAGAGUUUGAAGGUAGUUGGGAGAAAUAUCUACCGUUGGUCGAAUUUGCUUAUAACAAUAGUUUUCAACUCUAGUAUUAAGAUGGCACCGUAUGAAGCAUUGUAAGGUUGCAAGUGUCGAACUCCAUUAUACUGGACAGAGCUUAGUGAGAAACAGAUUCAUGGGGUUGAUUUGGUCAGAGAAACUGAAGAGAAAGUGAAUAUAAUUCGUUAUUGUUUGAAACCAGCUUCGGAUCGACAGAAAUAAUACACAGAUUUGAAAUGGAAGUAUAUCGAAUUUCAGGUUGGUGAUAAAGUGUUUCUAAAAUUGUCACCGUGGAAGAAAAUUCUUAAAUUUGGUUGCAAAGGCAAGUUGAGUCCACGUUUCAUUGGGCCGUAUGAGAUUAUUGAAAGAAUAGGGCCGGUGGCAUAUCAACUAGCUUUUCCAUCGGAGUUGGAAAGAAUUCACAAUGUGUUUCAUGUGUCAAUGUUGCGACGAUACCGAUCAGAUCCUUCGCAUGUGAUUUCUCCAACAGAGAUUGAGAUUCGACCCGAUUUGACUUAUGGUGAAGAAUCGAUGAAAGUGUUAGCUCGAGAGGUUAAACAGUUGAGGAAUAAAAGCAUAGAUCUAGUGAAAGUUUUAUGGAAAUGGCACAGGGUCGAAGAGGCUACAUGGGAACCCGAGGAAGCUAUGAGAACAUAGUACCCUAACCUCUUUUCUGGUAAGAUUUUUGAGGACAAAAAUCCCUAAAGGGGGAGAGUUGUAAUAGGCUCGUUUUUGGGUCAAAUCUAAAUAGUGGUUGUAGGACCUUAAAUCUGAAGUAGAAGUAUUUAUUUUAUUAUUUCUUUAAGGUCUACAGCAUGAUAGAGUAAUUGUGUGAAAAUUUCGUUAAGAAAUUUUAUCGGUUGAGUACUCAAUUUGACUAGAAGGACUGAAUUGCAAUAGGUGCAAAAUUUGAGUUCUAUAGGCUAAAUGUAGUAAAUUGCUAUGAAAUUCUAAAUUAGAGGUCCUUAAAUGGUAAUUAGACCAUUAUACCUGGAUGGAAAAAAAUGGACAUGGAGUAGGUAAAAUUUCAAAGUUUAAGUCAGGGGUAAAUAGGUAAUUUGGUAAAUAAAGCGAAAAAAAUAAAAUAAAAGAUGUCAUCUUCUUCAAUUUAGUCCCUUAUAGCCAAAAUUUAGAAGAGGAGAAAUAGCUAGGGUUUGGCCAAGUCUUCAAGCUCAAUUGUAAGUCCGUUCUUGUCCCGUUUUUAAUGAUUUUUACAUUUUUGAGAUCGUUGUAACUUGAUUUAGCUAUUUCAAGGACUAAUUUGACAGAAAAUCAAAGUCUAAAAUUUUACCCAUGUUGGAUGUGCAUGUAUUUUGAUGUUUAAAGGUAGAAAAUGCAUGUUUUUUGUUUGUUAAAUGACUUUUGCAAAGUGAUUUUCGAUAAGAACGUCAAAUAGGGACUUAUUUGUAAAAGUCUAUGAAAUGUGUAGAAAAGAUUGAAUAAAUGAAAAAUGUGGGCUGUUAUGAGUACAAAUAAUAUUUGGAUAGGCUUGGUUUGUGAAGACAUUGAAAGAAAUUCAUUUUACGAACCUAGGGACUAAAUUGUUAAAUGUUAAAAAGUUAGGGCAAAAAUGUAAAUUUUUCCAUAAUGUGUUUUUGGGCUGAAUUCAAUAAUGUGAUGACUAAAUAAGUUAAAUGUGGUAUUAUAGAUCAAGAAAAAUGAAGUUCGGGUCUAGAUCGGGGGAAAAAUAAAGUAUUUGAAGAAUAGGUCCUUUUGGCCGUUUUUGUAACUGAGGUAAGUUCGUAUGUUAAAUAAGCUUUACUUUAAAUGUGUUUAAAUGCUUUAAUUUAUGUAUGAAUUGUGUAAUCGACCGUACGAACACAUUUGAAAACAAUUUGGCAAGCGAGAAAUCCCAAUCGAACCUUAGGAAUAGAUCAGGAUACAAGUGACAUGUCACUAGGGUUUUACGUUACGUGAUCCGAGUGCUGGUCCUGUACGUCCUACUGGUGGCUGAGUAUAGCGGCAUAUGUUGCAAUUACUUGACAGCUUGUGUGAGCAGCACUGAGUAGCUAUGAAUUAUGCCUUGAACUUGUGCAUGUGUAGGAGUAAAUGAGGGUGACAAAUGGCUUGGUAAAUAUCAUUUAUUUUGUCCAAAUAGGUAGACACACGGGCGUGUGUCUAGGUCGUGUGUGACAUUCGGUUUGCUCCAUGGCAUGUGUUUCGGUCGUGUGUCCCCUAUACCUUAAUUUUGAGAAACAGAAUGCUAAGAAUUGAGCACACGAGCAGAGACACGGGCGUGUGUCUCAGCUGUGUAAGGGCACAUGGCCUCAAGCACGGGCGUGUGUCUUGAUCGUGUGAAGUCUGCACCUAUUUUAUGAAAAUUUAAUUAACCACACGGCAUAACACACGGGUGUGUGACUUGGUUGUGUGACCUUAAUUUGUUUAUGCUUUGCAAAACAGAGAAUUACACAGGUUGGGGACACGGACGUGUGUGACCACAUGGCCUGUCCGUACGAACGUGUCCCAAGCCACACUAGCAUGUGGCCCCUAUUCAUAGCAAAAAUUUUCUAAGUUUUGUAAAACUUUCGCAAAUGUUUGGUUUAGUCCCGAACCACUUUUAAAGCAUGUUUUGGGUCUUUUAGGUUCAUAUUAGGGACAUUAUGAUUGAAUGCAAAUGGUUUUAAUUUGGUCGAAAAUUUAUGACUUGGAAUUGCAUGUUUGCUUGUAAUGUGAGUCUGGUAAUGCCUCGUAUCCUAUUAUGGUGUUGAAUUUCGUGUAAGGGGUGUUACAAAGAUGCCCUUGCUUAAGACGUGUAGUUUUCAACAUGUCAGCAGUAAACUCCUCAUAAGGGUCUUCAAUAAGCUUGUCAAUCCUCACAACCAUCUUACAUAUACGAUUUUUCAUCCUUUUGUACUGACCAUGUUGACAUGGGCCAAGCUCCUCACGCCUUUUCUCAAGUUUCUCGAUAAUGUUUGUAUCAUUAAUGCUCCUAGCGUUCUUAAUAAUAUCUUUUUCUUUCUUCUCUUUUUCCCGGUACAUAUCAAAUUUAAAGAAAAUUCUCGGGUCUUUAAACUCCUCUCUAGGCUUUCGACCCAUAUUAUCCAUGAAAAUAGCAUCGUGAUCGGAGUUUGCUUGUCUCACCACGUUUUUCACAAGGAAAGGGAGGUUAUCAUUAGCAUUAGUAGAGAUUAAGAUCUAUCCAAGCUCUCUUUUACCAUGUUAUUAUCAUCACGAUUAUUAACCUACAUGAACCAGCCCUUGUCGGUUUUGAUGUCAACAAGUCCUCCAUUACAUCUCUAAACUCAUCCAUGGUUACCGUGGAUUUCCUACAUCCCCUAUUUUUCAGCUUCAUUGAUGAUGGCAUUAAAGUCGCCACCCA
Molecule: long non-coding RNA, 67105 nt
Filed under: Gossypium barbadense (sea-island cotton)
Lineage: Eukaryota; Viridiplantae; Streptophyta; Magnoliopsida; Malvales; Malvaceae
Description: long non-coding RNA (GBAR_LNC005157)
Source: RNAcentral